This 86599-nucleotide long non-coding RNA is filed under the name Capsicum annuum. RNAcentral describes it as "long non-coding RNA (CANN_LNC019445)". Lineage: Eukaryota; Viridiplantae; Streptophyta; Magnoliopsida; Solanales; Solanaceae. The record is from RNAcentral.
UUGUAUUUUAUGAGAACUAGAACUUCUUGAGAUCAAAAUGUUGAAAUUGUAUAUUUUUUUUCUUUCUUGAUGAAUCUAAUCCAUAUUCACUUUGGCAGCUUUUUUUUACCUCAAACACCAAACAGAGAGAAAACAGUAAGGAAUUUAAUGGAGGAUUCAUAUUAUUGCGAUUUCACAUCAAUGAAUAAAGAAGAGGCAAGCCUGCUUAUAGAUAAUGCAAAAGAGAUUGGUGAAACAUUUUUUGAAUAAAUUGAGAAUAAAAUAAAGAGAUAAUUAGCGAAAUUAAACUCAAUCUAGGUCUAAGAAAGAACUAAUGAAUGUUCAGAAGUAAAAAACAGAUUGAAUGGGGGGUUGAAGAAGGUAGAAGGGGGGUUGGGUGUCUCGAUUCGAAAUAGAGUCAUGAUGGCAUCUACUUUAUCCCACUAAUAGGUAAGGCAGAUCAUAUUCCGAAGCUAUAAGCAAGAAAAAGCUUACAAGCAAUAAAACAUGGAAUAAUAAUAAAAAUACAGAAUAUAAAUAAGAGAAAUAGCAAUAUCCCAUGACCUAUUAGUGUUAGUACAAGAGCCACUAACAAAAGAGUAUGAGUACUAUAAUAGUCAAAUGUACAUCGGUCUCAAAAUAGAAUGGGUAAGCAGCAAAAAUAGAGGAAGGAGAAAAGGUCAACUCCGGCUCCAAGAGCUCACGCUGUCUCCGAACUCUAGUUAGCACGAUCGCAGCGUCAACGAUGGCAACUAGUACUCAGAUCUUCAUCAAAAGGUACAAAAGUGAAGCAUGAGUAUUAAAGUCACGGGUACUCAGUAGGCAUCAUUAGUUGAUCGAGCUAAAUUAUAAUAUAAUAUAAUAAAAAUGCGAGAUAAUAAGCUAAUUAGUCAAGGUAAGAGUGCAAAAUAAUAAUGUAGAAGAGCACAUAACUAUCAAUAUAAAAUGGCCUUUAUAAGCUAGUGAGUGCGAAAAAUUAAAUAAACCCAAUGCGGGCCUUCGUAAGCUCGGAGAGUGAAAUCAAAGAGAAGAAGUAACCAAAAUUAUACUAAUUAAUCGUAUCUCAAAGCCAUAAUCAUGAUAAAUAACUUCUCAAUGUCGUACCUGAACUGAAACUCAGAAAAUUAAUCAAGUUUAGGUAUGUGGGGUUUAAACAAGGAUAUUCUUCCAUACUUGUGCCCAAAAGUUUAUUUUUUACUUGAAUUUUAAGUAAUUGAUAACUAGUUUCACACCAACUUUUCUUAUGCUUUGAGAUGAUGAUGUUUCCUCAUGAGUUGAACUUUAUUUAGCACAAGAUUUCAUGUUUACUUAUGUUUUAUCCACAAAAUUAUUCUUAUGCAUUGAUUUUUUGUAUUUUGACACGAAAUUUCUAUGAGAUGGUAAAUGAUUACUGUUUGAGCAUAAUGCACUCAGUUUACAAGAAGGUCAAGUUUACUAGUUCAAGUUAUAUAAUAUCACAUCAUGAUUAAAGCUUCAAUUUUGAGCAUAUGAUUUCAGAUAAGACAUGAAAUUCACAAAGUUUCUUUAUGAGUAUGAUUUUAGUAAGAGAAGCAUAGUUGGUUUUCAGUUUUGUAAACCUAUAUGCUACUUUAAAGUGAAUUUCAUAAGUAUGAGCAUAAGUGUAUAUAUUUUGGAAGUAGUAUUUAGCACCGAGGGGAAUGUGGGUUUAGUAUAUCCUAUUUCUCAAAAACUAUGUGCCACCGUGGUUUAAGGACUCUCACCAAAGAGUGUCUCUCUUGACCAAAUAGGCUAAGUUUAGUAAUCUUUCAAGUUAAUGUUCUAUAUUGAUAGCAAGGAUAGAACAGCUCUCCUCAACAUGGAUAAGAUGUUGGACUCUAUGCUAGGUCACAUGGUUUAUGUCGGUGAUAAGAAUCCCCUACAGAAAAGAAAAUUUUAGAAACUAAGUGUAAUGGCUCACAAGUUUCACUCAGAUGGUGUUUUAUGACUUAUUCUUAUGUUAAUUCAGUUUUCAAUUUCUUUCAUGAUCAUGGUUAGUCUAUUUACAAUAAGUAUACAUGUUUUAUGAUUAUGAUCGGUAUUAGUUUUACUAUUAUAUUCACCCCCAUAUACUCAAUACAUUCUAGAAGUACUAACUACAUAUAUAUUUGUGUAGCUACAUUAUUUAAUAAUAAAUGUUUUGGUAUUUCUCCUCAAAAGUACGAUUAGCCACGAUUACCAUCUCCUACAUCCCACUAGUUGGUGAGUCCUCACAUUCUGAGAUAUGAGGGCCAAGAGUAUGCUUGUUUUUAGAUAUUAAGCUACUAUCAGUUUAAACUUAUGUUUUGAGUUCUUUGGGUCAACCGGGUUUAUCCCUGUGUCUCUUCAGUUUUUGACUUUUUUCAGUUUCUAUUUGUGUUUAAGUUUAUUCUAUCAUGGUUCAAUUGUUGAGUAGAUAUCAUGGGUUAGCUUCGGGGCUACUUAUAGUCCUAAGAACCGUGUAACGUCCAAGGGGUAGCUUUAUGUCUUUACAAACUUGGUACCAAAAUCUAAGGUUUUAAGAGUCCUAGAAAGUCUGACAAACCGUGUUAUGCAGAGUCAUGAUCAUAGGUGUGAAGCGUGUCAUACUUAUGAGCAAGAGGCUAUAGAAUAUAUUAGGAACCAUCCCUUCUUUUGUGAACUCUAUCAUGCUUUAACGUUUUCCUAAUCUACUCCAACUCAUGCUUUAACGUGAUAGAGAAUGCCUCCUCACAGAGUUUACAUCCACAGAUUUAGGGACCAACCAGCCCCACCACCACUUGCAGAUCCUUUGAACGAGAGUGUCUCUUAUGUUGAGUUUUGAGUUGCCUUUCAAGUGAUAGCUCAGGCUGUGAAUGCUAAUGCUCAGGGUAAUCAGUCAACAGCAGCCUCAAUUCAGUAGAAUGGUAACUCAGCUACAGACCGAGUCGAGAUUUUAUGAGAAUGAAUCCACCUAAGUUCUUUGAGUAGAAGGUGAAUGUGGAUCCAUGCAUUUUCAUUGAUGAGGUGAAGAAAAUCACUUAGAUUAUGCAUAUCAUAAAAGAGGGGAGUGUGUAAUUGGCAUCCUAUCAGCUAAAGGAUGUCGCUGGUGAUUAAGUUACUCUAUGCAAGGAAGGUAGAGUGAGAAUGCAGCUCCAAUGACUUAGGGUGAAGAGGUUUAGAACAAUAUUCAGAGAUAUCUUGGGAAGUCUUUUCCUUGUUGCGGUUUAUAGAGAUGGUUACUUGGAUCCACAACAAGCGUUGGAACAAGUGUAGGAAGGAGAUACUUGUAGCUUCUUAUAAAGCUAUUCUCUAUCACAUUUGGUUGGCCAGGAACCAAAAAAUCUUUAUGAAUACAAAUGUUAAUAGUAAUUUGUAGUUCGACAGGUGAAAUGUGUAAUUAAGGAGAGAUUAGAGAAUAUAAAGGGAAUAAAGAGGAGUAGGAAAUGUACUGAAUUCAUACAUAUAUUAUGUAAUUAGUUGAUGAUUGAGGUCUACAAAUCUAAUAAUUGAACAGGUUAUCAGAUUUUUUAUACUCUUAAGUGUAUUUCGUUGAUUUGCUGGUAUGGUAAGAGUUCACCAUUUAUUGCCCAAAAAUAUUUUAAAAUUAUAAAUUUAUGAAUAGUUGAAGUUUAUUUACUACUCUUCACUCAUGAUUUUCUAAUUUUAAGCUAAUGAAUAUAUGUUUUUUCUCUUCUAAAAACCUAAUAUUUUCACAUUCAAAUAUUUUUUUAAAUUAUCAUCCUAAUAAUAAUAAUUUGCCUUCAAUAACCUACUAUUGUUUUUGUUGGGUCUCUUUUUCAAACAAAAGUUAGGUAUUUAGGACAUAAUACUAAAAAUGAUAAAAUAAUCUCAAUAAAUAGAAGCAUUGAAUUUGCUUCAAAUUUUCCUGAUAUUAUUAAUGAUAAAACUCAAUUGCGAAGAUAUUUGGGAAGUUUAAAUUAUGUUUCUCUUUUUAUAAAGGACCUUGCUAAAGAUACAUCUAUUUUAUAUGAUAGAUUGAAGAAGAAUUCAAAAGCUUAGAUUGAUGAUCAUACUCAAUCAGUCAAAAAUAUUAAUGCAAAGGUUAAUAGCCUACCAUAUCUUACUCUAGACAAUCCUAAUUGAAAAAAAAAAUAGUAGAGACAGAUGCUUCUGAUCUCGGGUAUGGUGUAAUUUUAUGAAAAUAUUCUCUAGUAGAUGAUCAAGAAUAUUUUAUAAAAUUUUAUUCGAAAAAAUGAAAUAAUAGUCAAAAAAAAUUAUGCAAUAAUUACAAAAAACAAAAUCUUGCAAUUGUAAAAUGUGUUAAAAUUUCAAGCAAAUUUGUAAUACCUAAAGUUUUUAAUAAGAACUCACUAUCAAAUAGUAAAAUUCAUAUAUAAUAAAGAUUGUAAACGUGAUGUUUCUAAACAAAAAAAUGUUCCUAAACUAAUGUUUGUAGCAUGGCAAGCUUUAUUUGCUCCAGUUAAUUUUAAAAUACAAUACUUAAAAGAAUCUGGUAAUAGUCUUCUUGAUUUUCUCACUAGAGAAUAUUUAAGGUAAUAAUUUUUCUCUUAUACAGGUUGAAGUCACAAUUUCUAACUUACUCUAGUAGAGGAAGGGAAGAGGAUGAACAAAAAUGGCCCGAGGUAAUAUCCCCGUCCAGAUAGAAAACCAAAAGUUAAUAUCUGCGAAUAUUGUCGGAAUUUCGGAUCUUAAUAAAGGUUACCAAAUGUACUAGGAAUUCAUGAAUUUUAUUAAAUCUAAAAAGGAAAAGAAUGGCAGUCAUUCAUAUUCUAGUGCUCUAACAUAUGAUACUAAUAAGAGGACUGAAGUAUAUGAACAAAAUGAGGAAGAUUAGGUUAUACUUAUCCUAGAUCAAAAUGAUUUGAAAUGGAGGGAUGACCCAUGGCAAUUAGUGCAGAGAUAUAUGGACACUACAUCAUACGUUACUGUAUAUAAACAUAGAAUGCAUUUUGAUAUAAUAUUCUCCCACACAGGAUUAGCUGAAAUACAAUAUUUUUAUCCUAACAAUACUAAUAAAGUUUCUAACUUCUAAAAAAUUAUUAUUAAAAAAGUUUUUACUCUGAAAGAAUGGAGUCUUAGUACUCUUAAAGAAAAAGAUUAUCUUAAUCCAAAACAAAAGGUUUCGGUUAAAUUUAACUAUUGAAAUUAUGUUGAAAGCUUUAAUAAAGUUCUUUUAUAUGAGAAUCACAAUAGAAAGCACUCAUGGUUAUAAAAAUUUGUGCUAAUAUUUUUAAUCAAAAUAUCUUUAAUUGAUUUGGAUAAUGGUGGAUUUAUUAUGGACCGUCUAUACAAAUUUUACCAAAAUCAUUCAAAAGUUUAUAUUGCUACAUCUUGUCUUGAUGAUGAUCAGCUGACAAUAAUGGACCAAGUCCCUGGAUCUUCAUGGAAAUAUAUAGUUAUCACAUGGCCUGCACAGUUUUGUUGUCUAGUGUAACAAAAUACGCAAGUGAGAUGUGUACUUUUCAUGGAUACUUGACCUAAUCAAAUUUCUACCCUAAUCAUUAUUCCACUAUAAAAGAAAAAUAAAGAUUCUUAAUUGAGUGGUUAUUUCAUUAUAAUUGUCCAAGCGAAAAUUGUCAAAUACUCAACUUUGCAACAGUGCUCAAGUUCUUGAUUUUCUUAUGUACUGAAAGAGUGUGUGAGUUCUUGAGUCGAUUCUUGUUUUGUAAUUAGAUUACUCAUGUUAUAAGAGUAAUGUUAUCGUGUGUUAUUGAGAGUGCUUAGGUAGAGUUACUUGAGUUCAAUAUUGGUUAGAGUUAAUCAGUAUUGAGAAGAGUUCUUGGCAGAGUUGUUAAGGUAGGCUUGUAAUAGAGUUAUUACAAGCAGGUGAAGCCUAGAGUUAGGUGUGUUGUUGAUAGAGUUGUCAAGUUAAGCUUGUAGUAAAGUUAUUAUAAGACGGUGGAGCUUAGAGUUAGGUUCAAAUAAAAUUUGUAAUAAAAAGGUUGAUUAUAGUGGAUUGUUGAGUAUUUGUGAGGGUAAUCCGUGGUUUUUCCUCCCUUGAGCAAAGAGGUUUCCACAUUAAAUUCUUGUGUUUUUAAAUUCCUGCAAAUCUUUAGCUUUCUUACAUCUUUUCUGUGUUAUUGUCAGAUACUAACUCUAAAGGGCUUGGUCCCUCAUUGUGGUAGAAGCCCUCACGUUUCAUCAUAUAUGAUGAAUAGGUAGAAUUAUCUUCAAAAUUAAUAAGAUUGGAGAAAGAUAAUAUUUAAUUUAAAUAUAUUUUUACUAUGUAUUUAUUUAUCAAAUUUUCUAUUUCCUAGAUAAUGAAAUGGUCCAUUAAGGUGAAAACCGCUCAUAAUAAUUUUUUAUGUCUCAAAAGAAUAUUUUAUAUAAAAUUUUAAAACAAUUAAAAUCAAAAGAUAAUUGAAGGUCAUAUCCAUGGACAAGUGAUAAUUGAUUCGAUUAAUGCAAUAAUUUCAAAUAGAAAGAAUAAAGAGAUAUGACAUUAAUACAAUAAAAGGACGCAAUUAGUCCUUUCAAGAGCGUUGCAAGAAGACUCCAAAUGAAAAAAAGAGUACUAUCGAGGUGAGAAAUGAUGGCUUCUUACAUGAAAAAAGUAAAAAAAAAUGAUUUAAUGAGAAAUCUUGACAUGAAAAACACAUCAGACAUUUUUAUAGCAUCUGUUGGUCAUACCAAGGAUAACGAAGAAGAUUUCUUAGUAGGAGAAUGUAAAAGUAUCUAGAGCAAUGACGAAAUUAAUAUUAAUGAAUACCUACAUAAAUUCAAAGAAUAAUUUAAAUAAUCUCUCACGUUAGCAAAAGAUAAAGGGAAAUAACUAAUAUAAAAUUAUGAGUGACCCCAUAUCCAAAAAAAUAAUGGGGGAUAAAUACAUCUUAACUUCUUAAAGUUAUUCUUUUAUAAAGAAAAUGUGACAAUGAAAUAGUAGAUAGUACACCAAAAUAGUAGACUUGCCGGUCACGUUUUGGUUACAUUUAUUUUUUAUUUUUUUAUUUUAUUUGAAAGAUCCACUAUAUAAGGAUCUAAUUUUGUGUAGUAGAGAGAGGUUUUUUAGAAUUUCCUCACUCUUUUACACCUUCAUUAUAAAAUAUUUAUCAAGCAAUAAAAGUUUAGUUGUUUAUUUAUUAGCAAAAUGGGCCAGUGAACCCUUAUACUUGUCCGAAUUUGUAAAGUGAACACUGCUACUUAGACUUUUGUCAUCUGAACCACUCAACUCAAUAAUUUAAACUAUUUUUAUGCAUAUGUGGCAUUAUAUUGCUGAGGUGGAAAACGCGUGUUUACACGCGUUUUUUGGGGCGAGUGAAAUUAAAAAGAUAUUUAAAAUAUUUAAGAAAAUUAAAAAAUAGUAAAAUUAAAAAUAAAACAAAAUCCUACUUUCUUCUUCUCCUCCGCCCUCAAGCGCACCCACACUACUAUUUUUUUCUUCAGUACCCACCCCCCACUGCACCCAAAAGAAAAAACAAUUAUCUUCCUUCACCAAUAAAUUUUCGUCCCCUUCGUUUGAGAUUUACUUUUUUAUUUUUUUACAAAUUAAUUUUUUGAUUCAAAUUUUUCCAUAUUUUUUUAGGACUAAAAUUAAACUUGAAUCGAAAGUAAAUGAUAGUGGAUAUUGAAAAUUAAUGAAGUCCAUGAAUAAGCUUGAAAAAGCUUGAAAUUCAAGUUUGAAGAACAAUAAAUGUGUUUUUAUGAUUUGCAAAGAUAUUCAGAAUUGAAAUUUAUUGUGUUUGUCUAUUUGAAUUUAUAUUUGAAAAUUUAAAUUAAUUUGAGAGGAAUUUCAAUUAUUUAGAAUGAAAUUAAAAAAUUUCUAUAAUUUGUUUAUUAAUUAAAUUUAUUUUAAUAUUUAAUUUUUAUGUGGCAUUUUAAAAAUAAUGUGAACAUUUAUGUGGCAUUUAAAAUGGCGUGGAAGCUUAUGUGCAGGCAAUUAUGUUGUACACAUUGAAAUAGAAUUUAAAAUUUUGAGUUUUAUUGAGUUAAGGGAUUUAGAUGACAAAAGUCUAAGUAGAGAUGUUCACUUUACAAACUCGGACAAGUACAAGGGUCUACUAGACCAUUUUACCUUAUUUAUUUACUCAAGGCUCUGGUUACAUUUUUUGAUUUUGAGGUACCUUAAAUUUCUGUUCUUUAUUUUAUUAACUUUAUUUUAAAUUAGCCUAAAUGAUAGGCUAAAUACUUUUGUAUUUAAAUAUAACACUAAAGUACUAAUAUAAUAUGGUACUAAAUACUUAAUAAGAAUCUUAUUAGCCAAUGAUACUAAGGUAGCAUAAAUAAUUUUGGUCCAACCCAUGUCGGAGGUCCUGUUAGAAGGCCUAGUGAAGCUAAAGGAGGAGUUUAGGGCUAUAUUUGAAUUUGUAUGGAUCAAUAUUAUUAACGUGUAAAGACUUCUUGUAUUAUCAUUGGAGCAAUUCGAUUCUAAUUGUGGUAUCAGAGUCAUGUGAUAUUUGUAGUGAUAGGUGUUAUAUGUUCAACAUGUUCUUCAUCAUGAAUAUCAUUAAGAAGCAUACUACUAAUAAUAACAAUAGAAAAGAAAAAUAUGAUAUGCCUCAACAUCUAGAUCUUCUUAAUAAAUAGACAAGUCAACCCAUGUUUAUAUACCAAAUGGCGACCUUUGAAAAAUUAGGUCUUAAACAGGUUGUUAAAGCAUCUGAAGAAACUAUUACUGUUGAUGAUGAUCAUGCUACUUUUAGAUUGUUAUCUGAAAAUAAUUUAUCCCUAUAUAGGGAACCCAUAGAUUUAUACAUAAUGGGUUGAUACAAGUUGUCUUUAAGUCACUUACUUUAAGAAGCUUACCUGAUAGUUUUUAGUAGCUCUAAGAGAUGAAAGAAAUUAAAAUUGAAAAAAGUCUCUUAUAGGGACUGUACAAUCAAGUUUAACUUAUGGUGUUGUACAUUUUACUGUUUAUUCUCAUUUACAGUUAUCUUUAAAUGAUGAUAAUUCUCUAAAUGCUUUAGUAUUAUGUAUUAAAUUAUGUGAUUGUAUUUACAUGUCAGGAACUGAAGUUAUAUGUAUAUAUUAAGAAUUUAUUAUAAAAUCCUAUGUGUAAAAAUACUUUAAAUCCUAUGUGUAAAAUUAUGAAUUUUAAAAAUAAAAUUAUUUUAAUAGAAACUAAUUUUGAUAAAUCAAAAGUUAUUAUCAGGAGACCUUUUAAAUGGGAUUAAAUUGAUUUUUUAAAGAAUGGGUUCUUGAGGAAGUUACACCUCCUUAAAAUACUAUGAAUGGUGAAAUUAAUGAGGUUGAAUUGACCAUAGACGGUACUAUUAAAAUCAAAUUUUUGAAAUUCAUGCCUCUAAUAAAUAGAGCUGAUAAUCUUAGUAUUGCAUCUAGAUUAAUUAGAUUAGGUUCUUAUAUUUCUUCGAUUGAUUAUAUAGUGAACUCCCCAUCUAGAACUUCUACUUCUCAUAUUAAGAAAAAUAACAGAGUUACUAAUAUUAAAUUGGAUAGAGACAAUAUAGCUAAUGUUAUUUUAGAUUUGGACCCAACUAAGUUCGAAAUAAAUUUUUCUAUAGAUUUAAAAUGAAUCAAAAUAAUAAUUGAUUUUAGUUCGAAAUAGCCAGCAAGAAAGAGAAUCUCAAAUAAGUACUUUAAAUUCAAGUGAAAACUUUUUAGAAAAUAAUUUAUUUAAAAUUUUAAUAAAAAAAUAUUUUUCAAGAAGAAUUUUUUAAAGAUCUUUUCAAAUAUAAUAAAAUAAUUUUUCUCGUUCCUUGAUUUAUGACAAGAUAUGUUGAUAGUUAUACUUUCAUGUUAGAAAGAGAUUAUAAACUAAGUAAUGGUGAAAUCACUAAGUCAGUAUUACCUUCUCAAUAAUCUUUACAACUUGAAUAAGAUGAUAAAAUAGUUUGUUUUACUAUAUGUGCAAAAUUACUUAAAAAUGAUACUGCUAUUGUUACAGCUCAAUAUCGUAAUACUAUGAUUAAACAAUACAAUUAUGCUAAUAUUUAUAUGAGUAUAUUGAGUGAACAAAUUAUUUUCAUUCAUGAUAGAUUUGAUGGACUAUUUUCUGAAAUCGAAAAAAUAAAGAUUAGUAAUACUAAAGAAAAAGAUCAAGUCUCAAUUGCUACUACAAGUAUUCAACUUUUCCCAAAAAUAAGAAAUUUUAAAUAAAAUAGGGUCUUCCUGAUUUAGAAAAAUUAUUAGAGAAAAAGUUUAAAAAAUUAAAAAUUAGCUCUUUAAGUACAAAUGAUAAUUUUGAAUUAUCAAAGAAUGAUAAUUAUGAAGUCUCAGACGAGAUUAACAAGAUAUUAGAAAAAUAUGCUAGAAAGUCAUUUCAAAGGAUGUACUACUAUCAUACACCCACUCCCCAACAUGUUUUAUUAGAGGAACAGGAAUUAAUAAUCUCCAAUGAAAUGUAGAUGGUUAUAAUGACAUGCAAACUUUCACAGUAGUACACCAAAUAUUGACGUACAGUAUAAUUUUUAAAGCUAAUGAAAAUCAUGAUAGAAUUAUUGCAAAGAUGAUUACUAUAGGAUUUAUAAGUGAAUUAAAAUAGUGAUGGGAUAAUUAUUUAACCAGAAUUAACGUUAUAAGAUAUUACAAGCUAUCAAGCAGGAAGAUAGUUAACCUGCUCAAAAUGUGGUAUAUACUUUAAUCCUUAAUAUUAAAAAACAUUUCUCAGGAAGAUGGUUUGACAAUAAUGAAAUCAUUAGAACUAUGCUCCAAAACUUGAGAUGUAAAACUCUCAUUCUUUUGAUGGUAUAAGGAUGUAUUUUUAUUUACAGUCAUGAAAUUAUCAGAAUGCAAUAAUUCUCAUUAGAAGUCUAAAUUCAUAGUGAAAUACCAGCCCACUUUGCGAAAAUAGUUAAGAAAGCUCUUAGAGGAUCAAUGAAAAGUAUAAAUUAUGAUGAUUGUACGUAUGAAAAGUUGAUUAAGGUAUGCACCCAAUAAAGGUUAUUCUUAUGUAAUAAGAUCUGGUUGAAUCAAAAGACAUCAUCUUAAUGAAAGAUAUUUAUUAACGAAUUUUGUGAAUAGUUUGCCAGUGACAUUCCUAAGAAUUCAAAAAAGUUUUAUAGCCACAAAAAGAAAAAGAAUUUUCGUGAUAGAAAAAAUAGGAGACUUGAAAGAGGUCAAGAAGAAAGAAGAAUUUUAAAGUAAGAAAAGAUUAUAUCAAAUUCAACAAGCCUAAUGUUUGUUACAAAUAUGGUAGUGUAGGUCAUUAUGUCAAAAAUUGUUAAAUUAAGAAUAAGAUCAAAAAACUUAACAUUGAUGAAGAGAUAAAACAAUCUUUGUGCAAAUUUUUAUCAAAUUCUUCUCCGAAUAAUUCAAGUUCAGAUCAAAAUAAUAAUGAAAAUUCCUCUACAGAUGAGGACUUAUGAAUUCUUCAUAAUGAUGAUUAUAUAUUCUCUGAAGAUGAUUGUAUACCUUGUCAGUUAGAGCAACCUUAUGAGAAUGAGGGUGAAGAUUAGUUUUAUAAUAUUUACUUUGAGGAUCUAAAUAUUAAUGUCCUUGAAAAAGAUAAAUUAGCAGAAUUUUUUGAGAUUAUCACAGAUCGUAGAAUAAGAUCUCAACUAAUAGAUAAGAUGAAAAAAUUCUCUACAAGUUUCACUAAAUAAUAAUAAAAAAUUCCUUCUCAAAAGGACCUUAUAUUAUAUCUAAAGUUAAGCGAAUUCUGAAAGAAAAGGAACGAGUAAUACUCCUACAAUAACUGGUGAUUUGAAGAUAGAGAUUGAUAAUCUCAAGAAGAAAAUUAUUGAUCUCAAAAGUAAUAAUAUUCUGCUAGAUAAGAGAAUUUCUAAUUUAGAAGAUCAAAGUCUUGCUACAUGUACUAUGGAUAAUAUACCUGAUACACAAGAAGAGAAAUUUCUCCAAACUCUUGAAAUUAUUAUCCGUAAAAAAUUUUACUCAAAAAAUACUUUUUUAAUCAACUAUUAUCUUAAAAGAGAGUUUACUGCUCUCGUUGAUAGUGUGGUAGACUGUACAUGUAUACAGAAUGGUUUAAUAGCUUCUAAGUACUUUUGUAAGAUCACUAAUAUUUUAUGAAAUGCUAGUGGCUAUAAAAUGAGCGUUGAAUACAAAAUACCCAAAGCAUAUAUUUGCUAAGAUAAAACAUGUAUGUCAGAAACCUUUGUUUUGAUAAAAGAUAUUACCGAUGAAAUUACUUUAGGUGUCUCAUUUUUUAUCCACUUAUAGCUUAUUAUCUGAUGGGAUGAAAUUGGUAUAACUGAAAUAUUUGAUAAUAAAGUAAUAAAAUUUGAUUUUGUUACACCAUCCUAUUCAAGAUUUUUAAACAAACUAAACGAAAAAUGUAUUUUAAAGAAUCGAUAAGUCGAUUUUCUAAAAAAUAAAAUAUAUAGUCUAACAAUUAAAGUGGCUUUACAAAAUUUCAAAUUGAGUGAAAAAACUCAACUUUUAUAAAUUCAUUAGAAAUUUGCGAAGAUCACUCAAAUAUGUUUUGACAAAGAAAGAAACAUGUCAUCAUUCUUAGAGAAUUUUAAAGAGAAUAAUAUUCCCAAUAAAGAUAGGUUAUGCCAAAUGAAUUCAGAAUAUUUAGAAUUAUGCAGAAAAUAAAUUAAUUCCUUAAUAAAUAAGAGCCUCAUAAGACCUUCUAAAUUGUCGUGGUCAUGUACUGUUUUUAUGUUAAUAAGCAGGCUGAGAAAAAACGAGGAAUUUCAAGACUAGUUAUUAAUUAUGAACCUCUAAAUAAAGUCUUAAAAUUGAUCAGAUAUUCAAUACCUAAUAAAAAGAAUUUAUUAAAUAGACUAUAUGACAUCAUCAAAUAUUUAAAAUUUGAUAUAAAAUCAGGAUAUUGACAAAUUCAAAUUGUUCAGGCAGACAAAUACAAAAUUUCUUUUAAUGUCUCAUGAGUCAAUUUGAGUGGAAUGUCAUGCCUUUUGGAUUAGAAAAUGCUCUAUCUGAAUUUUAAAAAAAUUAUGAACGACAUUUUCCUGUCUUAUAGCAAUUUCAUAAUAGUUUACAUUGAUGAUAUACAAGUAUAUUCAUAAAUAGUAGAAAUACAUUUUAAACAUCUUGAUCUAUUUAAAAAAGUUAUUAUACAAAAUGGGUUAGUAAUAUCUAAAUCCAAAAUGUCUCUUUCUUGGCCAAAAUAUUGUUAUUAUUAUUGUUGUUGUUGUUAUUAUUGUUAGGAGUACUACUACUAGCGCAACGUUCUUUUUCUAAAUUGAAAACGUACAACUACCACUAUGUGUCUUCUUCUAUUACUACUAUAAUUUUUAUUGUUUAUUGUUAUUACUAUCAAUAUUAUUAUUUUUUGUUUGAUAUUUAAAUAUAUUUUAUAACAUUAAGAGGGAUAAGUUUAUGAUAAUGUGUUUACUAUUUAGAUUAAUAAAAUAAAUGUUUUUGUUAAAUAUCAUCAUCAUGAAAUAGUUAGAGUUUAUUUAGGACUCUUCAACUAUGUUUUCUAGGUUUGAACUAAUAAAAAUCUUUUGUUUUUCUUCUAAAGCAUUAUUAUUUUUAUAUUCAAAUAAUUAAUACCCUUUAAUUCAAAAUUUUAAUUACAACACUAUUAAGCUUUGUCCUAAAACUGUCACAUGACUUCUCUAUAGUUUGUCACUUGACUUCUUUUGGUGUGUGUAUAUAUAUAAAUAUAUAUGGAGAGAAAGAGAGAAGAGAGAGAUUAUAAAACAAAAUGUAACUUCAGAUAUGCGGGUACUAAAGCUACAUGUUCUAUCAGCACCUAACAUAGCAAAUAUACAUGUUUCUUCAGAUACUUGAAUAUCUAAAGAUACAUGUUCUUUUUGUUUUUGUAAAGACCAUGUAUCUAAAGAUACAUAGAUACACGAUCUCAAUCAAUAUAUCUGUGAUACACGACAAACACUAUAAUUUUUUGAAAUCUAUAUUGCGCCAUGUAAUUAUAAUGUACUCCUAACAUAUGUUGCCUCUGGUCUGAAGCUCCGACAUUUGGAUUCUUAUCAGCAACAAUUUUAAGUCAAAUUAUAAUUGAGAUCAAUUCAUGCAAUUGAGCUUCUUUGUUUAACACUAAUUUUUAGUAAAAGUAAUUUUCCAAAUAGUUCCUUAAAGUAAGAAACUAUGUUUAUUAUUGAGAAAUAACAAAAUUUUAUUUGAAAUAAUAGAAGCUUAAAAAUUAAUUAAAUGGGGAGAGUAAAAAAUUAGGUUCAAUAGGUCAAACCUUUUUACUUUCCAUCCUUCCAAAAAUGAAAAAUACAUCCAAAUCCAUCCAAUUAUCUCAAAAAUCAUGCCAUCUAUCUCUGCAAACCACAAAUGUUAUACUGAAACUAUGAAAAGGGAUAUAAAAGGAAAAAUAUGCAGAAAUCACAAAUGACCAUGAGGAUCGUUUCAUUAAAGUUGAAUGAUACUUGAAUAGAAAAAAUAAUUUAAUCACGCAAAUAAAGCUAUUCAGUCCAAACUAAAUUGAUAUAAGGUAAUGCAAUGAUUUUACUGUAAAAAUGAAAAGAAAUUUUUUAAAAAAAUAAGACUGCAAAAAAGAAAUCGAAAGAUUUUGUCCAAAAAAUUCUUCGCCUUUUCAUCAAUUAUAACUUUGUACAAUGUCCCAUGUAUGUAUACAAGUAUGAAAAUGAAGCAAAACUUAAAAAGAAACCAAACCUAAACACUAAGGACUUCUAAAUAAGGUACAAAAUAAUAAAGUGAUGCACUCUUAAAUAAGAUAGGAUAAUAACCUAAAUAUCGAUACAUAAAAGAUUUACCUAGUAUUUGCAAAAGAAAACGAAUAAUAUGUACAAGGUUUUAUGAAUAUGGGACAAAAUUAAUAUGUUGGGGCCCAUUUUCUAAAUGUAUUUUUGAUUCUAGACAAAUUGAAACCAUGCACUGCAGUAGAAAAGUAUACUAAGCAAAUGUAACAGGUGAAUCAAUUUUUUCCAAAAAUAAAUAUAACAUUUAUCUCAACACCUCCUAAGUUGGAGGGUACAAACUGACACCCAACUUGUCCAAAAUACUGUGAUGAAGAGGCCCUGUGAGUGAUUUUAUCAAGAGAUCGGCUAAUUGAGAGGAAGUUAAAAUGAAUGAAAAUGAAAUAUGGCCAUCUAAAAACUUUUGUCGAACAAAAUGACAAUCGAGCUCAGCAUAUUUUGUUCUCUCAUGAAACACAUGAUCUUUAGCACUCUGUAUUGUUUCUUGACUAUCUGAAUGAAGAUUCAUAGGAAAUCACAUUAAAAAAAAAGAUCUUAAAAGAGAUGAAUUAACCAUGUGAGCUCGAAAAUAAUGCACCUCAUAGAACGAUACUCAGCCUUUGCGGAGCUAAGAGAAAUAGAAGUUUUCUUCUUCAACUUUCAAGAAAUAGGAGAAUCCCCAAGUGAUAUAUAAAAUUCACUAAUAGAUUUUCUUGAAUUUGGACAUGUAUCCAAAACCAAGUCACAAAAAACAAGAGGCUUAAAUGAAAAGGAUGCAUUAAGAAAGAGGUUCAAACUUGAGUUUUUUGAUAAGUAACAAAAAACUCGUAAUACAAUUGUGAAUUGAGGUAAAUGAGGAAUUUUGUAUUUUCAAAUGAUGAAUUCAGUAAUAUCAAUGAUCCCAAGUAUUACAAAUAUCACCGCAUCAUUAAUCACCCUACAACAAAAUACUUUGUCUUAAAGGAGAAGAUCAUAUAUGAAAGUAACAAGAAGUUGUACCUUAUUCAAGACAGGAGGAAAAAAUGAGGUUGUACCUUAUUUUUGACAGUAGAAAGAAUAAGAGGUUGUAUCUGAUUCUUGAUAGUAGGAUAAACCAGAGGUUGUACCUAGUUUGUGACAGUAGGAGGAACAAGAUGUUGAACCUAGUCCACAAUGAUGGAAGUAGGAGGAAAAGUAGGAUUGAUAAAAGAGGGAGAUGAGAUGCCUUUGUAGGUGUCAACAUUAUACCCAGAAUCUAUAGUUGGGAUUGAUGUAUGAACUGAGAAGUAUGAAGCAUUAGAUUUAGAAGAAGUAAAAGGAAAGACAUUUUCAUGAAACAUAUCUCUAAUAAGAAUGAUUUUCUUAGUACCAAGAAUCAAAAUUUUGUAACUUUCUUUUCAUGUGGAUAUCCCAAAAAGACACAUGUAGUAUCCAUUAGUCCCAAUUUAGAUCUUUGAGAGGAUAAAAUGGAGACCAAAGAUAGACAUCCAAAACAUUAGAGAUUAAAAUAGUUCGGCGUGAUUUUGAAAAGAAUUUCAAAAGAUGUUAUAUAAUUUAGAAUUUUUGAAGGAAAUCUAUUGAUUAGGUAAGUUGCAGCCAAAAGACAUUCACCCUAAUAUUUAAUAGGUAGAUAUGAUUGGUACAAAAGAGCCCUAGAUAUCUCUAGCAAAUGUCUAUAUUUUUUUUUCUACCACACUAUUUUAUUGUAAAGUAGAUACACAUGAAGUUUGAUGUUGAAUUCUUUUAUAAAGAAAAUAUUUUGACUGUGUUGUCCAACUUCCUAACUAAAGAGCAUUGUCUGAUCUUACUAUCUUGACCUUGGUUUGAAAUUAUCUUCUAACCAUAGUCAAGAAAGAUUUGAGCACUGCGAAGGAAUUUGAAUUAUAGAUUAAUAGGAAAGUCGAUGUUUCUCUACUAAAAUUAUUCACAAUGAUAAGAAAGAAUCUAUACCCAUCAUGUGUUGGUUCUUUAUAUGAUCUCCAAGUGUCAAUAUGUAUUAACUCAAAAUUAAAUUUCAUUGAGAUGUUAUUUGUUGAAAAAUAUAUUUUAUUUUGUUUUUCCAUAGGACAAAUCAUAAAAGGAGUGCCAAAUUUUGACAAAAAGAAAUGAAAUGAAAGGGAACAUUUUUCAUAUUACUCAAAGGAAUAUAGCCUAGUAUAUAAUGUCAUAAUUUAUCCUUUAUUUUGGAAUCAAACAAAAAAAAACAUGAAUGAGAAGCUGAAUUAGAAUUGAAAAUCUGAUCACUAAAAAAUGAAUCAAAACCCAAACUAGGACUUGAGAUGUUAUUGACUAGAGAAUUUAGAAGAAUAUUUUACUAGCUUGAUUUGAGUAUGUAGAGUCCUCUUUUUUCUCUAUUAAUUUCUAAUGGGCUCUUUAGAGAAGAGUCCCGAAAUAUGAAACAAGAAGUAGGAGUGAAUAAUGCAUCAUUGUUGAGUUGUCUACACAAUUUCUAUAUAGACAAGAGAUUGAACCUGAAAGAAAGCAUGUAUAAAAUAUUGUGUAAGACAAGAUUUGAUAAUGCACAGACUAUUCCUAAAUGAGUUGUCCUUGCUUUGUGUGACUUGGGAAGAUAUGCCAUGAGUUCUCCAGGCAAGGGCUUAAAAUUCUAAAGAAUUUUUUGUGAGUCAUAUGCAUCUUAUAUCUAAAAAUUAUUGUCAAUGUUUACUACGCGUGCAUAAAAAUUGAAAACUUAUCCUUACUUGCAAACCUCAUAUUGGUAGAAACUUGAGGAGUAUUUCCAUUUUGAUUUUUAAUAUUUAAUUGCUGAAUAAGCUCCAACAGUCGUCCCACAUUUUCUUGAGUUAAGGACCAAAUGUUUGGACUACUAUUACCUACUUGUUCCUUAGUAGUAUCGAAACUGUUGUUGACCAGAUAUUUUUCUUGAAAAUUUCUCUGUCUUGUAAACUUAAAAUUAGUAGAAAAUCCAUAAAUUCUAUAAUAUUUUUCCACUAUUGUCACGAUCCAAAUCAGGGUCUGGCCGUGACGGGUAUCUCAAGUCCACCGAAGACCGGAGACCACCCCCAUUGCCUAGUCAAAUCGAACACAAUACCCAACAGAGGAUGAAUUCCAAACAUAUAACAAGAUAUGAUAUAAAAGCUUAAAGGAAUCUAAGAUAACUAAAUAUCCAACAACCAAUAAUGAAAACCACUCAAGUCCACAGUAAUAUCCACAAAGCCUCUAAACAAUACCAAAAGCUAAUCUAAGUCGGGACAUGCCCCCGACUUUGAUAAUAACAAUGACAAUGAUAAUAUUAAUGAAUAUGUAAAGUCUUUCAUUCUACUCUAUGAAAGGAAACUAAUUAUGAUCAAGUCUUCCAGAGAAUGAAAGCUCACUAUUUCACCAAAACGAUCGACAAACCGAGUCGAUCCAUCUAACACUGCAUAGAAAAAGUAGAAGUAUCUUCGGUGCCUGCAUCGCAUGGGGAUGCAGCAUUCGAAGAUGGUUAAUGGGUUGAGAACUAGCAUGUAACUCAGGGUAAGGGGAAAAAUAAUUCCAAAUAAAAUCCAAUUCAUAUCCAUGUGAACAUCAUCAUGUACAUACGUAAAUAAUAUGUCGGAAUAGGAAACAAGACUUAACAACAAGACUUAACAUGUACUUUAAAACCAUUAAUCUAAAUUGUGUAGCAUAGCCGUCAUAACAAGGCACACACGGGCUAUAUGUUUCCAGCUCUCUCCUAGCUGAAAAGACCCAAGUGCGUGUGGCUGCAUGAACCGGAGAAUAAUUACGUCAACAUAUGCACUAUGGGGGAUUCGAACCUCCUGACACAUACCAAGAGUAGCUCGAUCACUCUGUCAAUAACAUGGGGGACUCGAACCUCCUAAUUAUAUAAUAAUUGAGACUCGAACCUUCUGAUCAUUUAUACCCCCGCGUCAGCAACUAUGGUUUUCAGUAUUGGUCGCUCGAGACCUCCACUUUCACGGAACAACUAUACAACCCCCAUUAAAACCAAAUUAAAGCACCUCUCACACAUUUCCAUUCAUUGACCAAAGAAUUUAUCAAUAAGGCACACUAUGGGUAUCGUCAUACCCUUACAAGUUUAUCUCUACGCCAUAACAAUCACAUUACCUUGAGAGAAUACCUCAACCCUCCUUUGUUCAUUAAAUUAAAUCAUAGCCAACAAGGCUUUCAAAACCAUGUUCAUUGUCUAAUAUUUUAUACAAUGAAAUGACAUAGGUGGGUAAGUCAAACCAAGUGACAAUUUCACCAUUUAAAGCAAUUUACACAAGUGGUAGAGGAAACCCAAUUAUUCAAAACCAAUUCCAAUUUCAAAACUCCAAAUUGGGGAAAACCAUGGCCCCAUAGUUUAUUCACCCCUCCCAUGCACUCCACAAGUUCAAAAUCAUUAAUAAAGCAUAAACAAUGCACAAUAAAUCAUGGAAAAAUAAUUUAAGAAUCGAUCAUGUCAAAACCUCUACCAUAACAAAACCCACAUUCAAAUCCAUACAAUUUAAACCAUGUAAAACACAUGAUUUUCAUAAAUUGAGAAUUAGGAAAGAGUAACAUGCCUGAAAAAUCAAGUAUUACGGAGAAAAUUCGACCUUUAAAGCUCUAGAUGGUCAAUCUUUAGAAACCCUAGGUACUUUUUCCUUAAGAGAAUUUGAGAGAGAAAAGAAUGUGCUUUGAUUUUCUAAAGGGUGAAAAUAAUACCCCAAAGGUGUUUUAUGGUCAUGAGUCAUAGGUGGGAAAAAAAGGAAAUGUCCAAAAUGCCCUAAAUUAAAAGCUAAAAAAUUAUCGCUAGUGAUUACGGUUACUCUGCAACUCAUAAGGUCACAUAACGGCUCGUCACCACAAGACAUAGUCAAGACAAUUUCUAGGGUGCACACACACUACUGACCCUACGUCUCACCUCAUACAACUCAUCAAUUGACCCUACGACUCGUAUGGUCUCAGUCGUACAGAACCAUUUGGGUAACUCACUGGUCACCCUAUGAUUGUACAUAUCGACUCGUAUAGAGUCACUAUAACUUGUAGAGUCUAGUCGUUGUCAGGGAAGAAAGUUUGACAUAUACAUUGGUUGUCCUACAAUUUGAGUCUAUACGACUUGUAUGAAAACUUUACGACAUGUGAAGAGAGCCGUUAUCUGGGUAGUGAGCUUAAGGCUCAAAGAUUUCUCAAGAAAAUAACAAUUUUCUUUAACAAAGUUAGAAAACAAAGAUGUUAAGAUUAACAUAUACCUUAAGCACGAUUAUAUGAAACGGGGAACAAGAUUGGGUAUUUUGACUUCAUGUCCUCUUCAGCUUCCCGAGUAUCUUCCUUGCCUUUUUGGCUCCACCAAAGAACCUUCACUAAAGCCACGUCCUUAGUCCACAAAUGACGAACUUGUCUAUCCAAGAUCUCAACUGGGACUUCCUCAUACGAUAAGGAUUUCAAAACACCAAUCUCUCCAAUAGAAAAACCUUGGAAGCAUCACCCACUCACUUCUUCAACAUCGACACAUGGAAGACCGGAUGGAUAGAUCCUAAACUCAAAGGCAAUUCCUACUCAUAAGCCACAUUUCCCACUUGCCUCAAAAUACAGUACGAACCAAUAUAACGAGGGUUGAGCUUCCCCUUCCUUAUAAACCGCAUCACUCCCUUCAUGGGAGACACCUUGAAGAACACCAAAUCAUCCACCACAAACUUCAACUCCCUUCGCCUCAUGCCUGCAUAGGACUUUUGGCGACUUUGGGUGGUUCCAAGUCUAUCCCGAAUCACCUUCACCUUCUCCAUAGCUUGAUGAACCAAGUCGGGACUAUACAAUCUAUUCUCACUAACCUCAAACCACUCAAUAUGGGACCUACACUUCCUACCAUAAAGAGCCUCGAAAGGAGCCAUCCCAAUAAUAGAAAGGUAGCUAUUAUUAUACGUAAACUCUAUGAGGGGAAAAUGAUCGACCCAACUACCCCAAAAGUAAAGCUCACAAAACCAUAGCAUAUCCUUCAACAUCUGAAUGAUCCGCUCUGCUUAUCCAUCCACUUGGGGGUGGAAGGCAAUGCUAAGGCUCACCUUAGAUCCCAAACCUCUCUAAAAUGAAUAUAAAAAUGAGAUGAGAACAACAUACCUUGAUAAAAAAUGAUGGAAAUCGGAGCACCGUGCAACCUGACUAUCUCUUCAAUGAACAACUUGGCAUAGUCCCCAAAAGAGAAAUUUGUCCUUACUAGUAAGAAGUGACUAGUCAUCCUAUCUACGAUGAUCAAAUCGAAUCAAAUUGUCCACGAGUUCACAAAAGACCCAUAACAAAAUCUAAAUUAUCACUUCUCACUUCUACACAGGCAACUCAAUUUCUUAAAACAACCCACCAGGCCUCAAGUGCUCCAGUUUCACUUGUUGACAAACUAUGCACUUGGCCACAAAAUUAGCCAUAUUCCGCUUCAUAUUAUUUCACCAAUAAAUCUCCUUCAAGUCAUGGUACAUCUUCGUCAAACCAAAAUAAAAAAUAUACCUUGACUUAUGAGUUUUAGCCAAGAUUCUUUAUCACAUCCCGUCAACAUCGAAAACACAUAAUCUCCCUUUGUACCUCAAGAUACCAUCACCACCAAUCUUAAAAGCCAUCACCUUUUAGUGAUCCACAUCAUCCUUAAUCUGCAUCAAGAUAAGGCCCAAGACUUAUUUCUCCUUCAACUCAGUGUUUAGAGAUAAAUUCACCACCUUUUGCACCAUCACACCACCAUUCUCAUAGUCUUGGAGAUAUACUCUAAUGAUUAUCCAGCCGGUGCUUAUCUUUCACCAAUUCUUGAUUCUCCCUAUCCACGUGAGAUAGGAUUUCCAUAGAUAAAUUACUAAGAGCAUCAACGACCAUGUUAGCUUUACCUGGAUGAUAAUGAAGACUCAUGUCAUAAUUCUUGAGCAACUAAAGCCACCUUCUUUGCCUAAUAUUAAACUCCUUCUGGAUGCAUAUAUAUUGUAAACUCCUAUGGUCUAAUAAGAUGUCAACAUAAACCCCAUACAAGUAAUGAUGCCAAAUCUUUAAAGCAAAGACCACAACCAAUAACUACAAAUCAUGUGUUGGUUAGUUCUUUUCAUAAACCUUCUACUGCAUAGAAACAUAUGUGUAAUGCCCUAAAUCUGGUACUGAAAUAAACUGAAAACUAAAAUGGUAAUGUGAUCAUCAUGUCCUCGAAGGAUGAGGACUCACUGCUAAAUAUGAUCGCUAAAUUGGGAUGCUACUGGUUCUCUGAAGCUCGUGCUUUUAAACCUACGGUAUAAGAUACCAUAGCGUAAAUGCGUUACUACUUUAAAUGUACUGGUAUGCAAGUGAGGUAGGUUGAAUGAAAUAGGUUCAUAAGCAUGAACAAUACUAACUAACUGACUAACAUAAACGUGAGAAUACAUGCAUGCAUACGUAGCUAUAACUGAGAUCAUGAUAGGACUGAAUACUUAGUUCUGACUACUGAGUCUACUGACAUUGAGAUCUGAGUCACUGAUGAGUGAGAAACUGAAACUGUAUUACUGAAUACUGAGGGACUGAUACUAUGUUACUGAUACAUGGAUAACUAUGUCUGACAGUUCUGAUUAUGAAGAAUGGUUUGGUUGAUUGUAUAUGACAGUCCUGAAGCUGAAUACUGAUAACAUAAGUUCUAAUAACUGAUAUAACAGCUAACAUAAGUGAUUGUAUCUGACAGAACUAAAUCUAAUGGAACUAGCUGAGUUCUAUCUUGUAUGUGAGUAAUUGAAUCUGAGAUCAGUCCUAUUUAGCGGUUGAUCUCUACAUCUGGUGAUACUGAUACUGAUUGACCAUAGUUAAGAUCAGUCCUAUCUAGUGGGUAAUCUUGGAGUCUAUUAUAAUGAUAAGGAGUGACUGUAUCUGACAGUCCUAAAUCUAUACUACUUAGCUGAAUUAACUGUAUCUGACAGUCAUGAUUCUGUAACUAAAACUGUGAGAUGUAUUCACCUAAUCGACAUGCCCCAUACUAAGCUAACCGGGGUCCAACCUAUAACCCCAGCUGGAAGGGUGUCAGUACCAUGCCACUAGUAAAGACAACUGUUGUGGAGUCAGUCCUAAUCUAGCGGGUGACCCCUGAAUUCAGUCCUAUACAUUUAAAUACGCUAACGGGUGAUCCCUGAGUAUGCCAGUCCUAUAUAACGGGUGACAUCUCAUACCUAUGCUAGUUACGUAGUUCUGGAACUUAGGUAUUGCUUCUAGGGAUGUCAGUCUUAUCUAGCGGGUGAGUCCCCAUCCCUAGGCUCGCUCGGUGCUGAAUCCUACUCCCAUCUAAAAGACACUGAGCUGAUUAACUGAACUGAGUUGAUUAACUUAACUGAACUGAUACUAGUGGUAUUAUCUAGUAAAGCUAAACUAAAUUUACUGAGUUCUGUUGACUGACGAAAUGUACUGAGUUCUGAGGACUGACUGAGAAUACUGAAGUUACUGAGAUUAACUAAGAAUACUGAGGUUAUUGAGAUUACUGAGUUACUAAAAUUACUGAGAUUUCUGAGAUUUCCUGAGUCACAUAACUGACUGAGUUCUAUGGAUCAUAGCUUGACUGAGGAGAUGGUGAAAACAUAACAUGGCUCUAGGCACACAGCUAAAUGUUCGGGUACAAGUACCCCCAGGACUUGAUGAGAACAAACUGACAUAUCAUGGCCUACUUAAACACAUAACCAACAAUAUAAUUCAUAAUUCAUAUAUUGAAGCACUUCAUCAAACAUGUGAUAUGCAUAGGCUUGUACAUACAUGGGGAUUUCAUGAUAUCAUACUAGUUGGGCAUUGUUCCUUCGUCUGGGCAUUUAAUCAUACACAUGGUAGGCAUAGCACAUGUAGACAACAUUAUACCACAAUUAAUUAUCAUGAUUCAUCUCUAAUUUCAUCAUCUUAGGGUUUAUUUAUAGGUUCAUAUGAAUAUACAUCUAUAUAAAUCAAUUUCAUAUAAAAUUGAUCACUUAACAUAGAUUUGAAUUCAAUUUAAUCAGUCUUAGCAUAAACGAAAUUCAUAAAGAAAUCCAUAAACUUAAACUUAGAAAAGAGAUUCUUGGGCUUCAUGGACGAAAGGAGUCCAUGAAUGAACACUACGCAUACCUUGGCUCGUAAAUACACAAAAAUUAACGGAGGAAAUUCUUGAACUUGAAUCUUUUAUGAAAAACCCUAAUGUGUUCUUAAGAGGAUUUUGAGAGAAUAGAGUAUAUUUUGGUGUAAUGGAGGCUCAAAUCCAUGUUUUUGAGCUUAUAUAGGGUAGGAAAAUUGACCCUUUUAACCCUAGGACACGUAUUUAAUUUUUGAGAAAAUUUCCUAAUUUUCAUCCUUGGCGCGACGCGCCACUAUCGUGCCAAGUCACUGGAAAGUGACAAAUGGGAAAUUGAACGGUGGCGCGACGCGGAGCUAUCGCGUUGCCACCUUGUCUGCAACCUACAAGUUUGGCGCAACGAGCCACUAUCGUGGAGCAACACUGGAAAUUGACUAUUGCUAUUUGAGCUAUCUCUGCGACGUGCUGAAGGCUCGGGUGAUACACUAUCUCACUAAAAAGGCUCUAGCUAUUCACCCGGGUGUCGGAUUUUGGCGAAUUUGGUAUAGAUGGAAAGCUUAUUCAAUUCCCCACAUGAUAAAAAGUGAAAAUAUUCAAAUACCACAUGUACAAAAGUGGCUUGAUCUUUCAAAUAAAGCUUCUAACAUUCUUGAAAAACUUUUCAAGCUAGAAAAAGUAUGGGGUAUUAUAAUAUCUCCCCCAUGAGAACAUUCAUCCUCGAAUGAGAUUGAGUGAGAGGGAAAGAAUACAAACUGAGGUACAUACUAAACAUGACUGGCUGGAACAUAAUUUCAUGACUGACAUGAUUGAUGGAUGAAUAUAACAUACUGAACAUACAUAUCUGAUGCAUGACUAAUAAGCUGAAUCCAGCAUAUCUGAUGCAUGACUGAUAAUUGAUUUAUGAGUACAUGACUGAAUAUUCUUAUGAACUAAAUUUCUCCCAGUGAGAAUGCAUGUCUGAUGUAUAAUUACAUGACUAAACUGAUAUAUGAAUGCAUGACUGAAUAUGCAAGGGUACUUAGUACCAAAUUUGUAAUAGGGAUCUGAACAUAUACUGAAUACCAAGUUUAUAAUGGUAAUUUGAAUAGGGAACCGAGUAAUUUUAAUGAAACUGUUAUGUGACUAAAAAGCAUUGAUGACCCCAUGGCUAUGCUAGAAGUAUGCAUGAACUAGAGCCUGAGAACAUGACUGAGGCUGAAAUAUGAUACAUAAACUGAAUUUUGUAAACUGAACUAAGCCUCUGAAUACUUGGCCCAUAGCUGAGGUUGGGACUUUGAGGGUCAACUUAUGAGUACCCUCUACUCUAAACUGGAUUCUUUAUGUGAAGAGAAACUAGAUUUAAGACAUGAGAGCAUGAGGAAUAAUGGGGUAUCUCCUCCUUGGGACACUAUGUUUCUCUAAGAACACUCACCUUACUGAGAUACUGGGGUGAUGCACAGGGUAUCAAUGAAUUGAUUCAUGAAUGAAUAACUCAUGCUGAAAAUCUUAAGCUAAAAAUGAGAGCAAUAGGUCUAACAAUGCAUAUCAUGAGUAUGAAGGACCUAUAACGUACCUGAAUCUAUGCUGGGGGAGUUUCCUUGAUCAUGGCGAGUUUGAAGAGCGUAAAACCUGUUCUGACGCUGACCACUAGUGGUACUAGAAGUGACGUCCUGCUGGCGCAAAUCUUUUCCCUUCUGAUCCCUUACUCUACAUUCCUGCAGCCUGUGGCUUAGCUUACCAUAUCCAUAACAUACCUCACUACCUGCUCUACAUACACCUAGGUGAUUCUUGCCACACUCUUCGCAAAGAGGAUAGGUAAGACUCCUGUUCUCACUACCCUAGGCCUCAGAUCCUAGCGACCCAUCACGACUAUUAUUCUCGAACUUGGGUACUGGUGCACUAGCUGAAGAUGGAGCUGGUACUGAAAGCUUAUGACUAUACUGAGAACGACUACCACCCCCUGACUUAGGCUGAACAAAACUGAAACUACCUGUUCUUGCCCUCUUAUUCUACUUUUCCUUCAUCUUAAUAUUUUGCCUUCUAUCUGCUGAGCAUGGGUCAUAAGUCUGGCUAAAGUCAUAUCACUAUUCAGCAUGGUGGAUCUACACUCAUUAACCAUGCUAUUAUUCACCUCUGACACAAACUUACUCAUCUUGGCCCUACUGUCUGCAACUACAUGAGGAGCAUAUUUGGCUAAUUAAGUAAACUUAAGAGAAUACUCUUUCACUGUCAUAUUGCCCUGUUUAAGGUUGAUGAACUCUAGCACCUUAGCUUCUUUAAGCUCUAGGGGAAUGAACCUCUCUAAGAAUGCAGUGACAAAUUCAUCCCAUUCGAUAGGCCUUGCCUCAUCUGCCUUUUAUGACUUCCACUGCUUGAACCAAAUAUGACCCAUAUCCUGUAACUAAUAUUCAGCUAGCUCAGCACUCUCAACAUUAGUCACCCCCAUGAUGUCAGUCACCUUUUGAAUCUGAUCUAUGAAUUUUUGAGGGUCCUCAUCUGACUUAGACCCAAGAAAGGAUGGACGAUUUAUUCGGGUGAAAUCUCGAAUCCUGGCUAUAGUUGAAUUGGCCACUGGGUUGGACAAAACGACAGCUGAUCAUUCAUUAUGAGUAGCAACUAACUGAGCAAGAGUAGUUAAUGCAUCCUUGAAUUCCGCAUGAGAAACAUGAUCGCCCAAAGGUUCUUCAGGCUGAGGGGCUGACUGAUUUCCAUUUCUUCUUUUAGGAGGCAUAUUCUGUAGAAAAAAGAGAGAAAUAAGUUAGACUGAGAGAUUGACUUGAGAUUAUACUCAUUGUUAUGACAUGACUACAGAAAGAAGGGAAACUGUUCCUAAAAUAUCUUAUAGCCUCUUGCACAUAAGUGUGGUGCACAACACACGAAUGUACAAGACUUUACUAGAUGUGACUUUUCAGACUUCCUAGGAUACUAUUGAACCUUAGGCUCUGAUACCAAGUUUGUAACGCCCCAAAUCUGGUACCCGGGAUGUUACACGGUGCUCAUGACCCCAAAGGACCACAAGUUAACCCAUGACUGAUAUCUGUAAUUGAGCACCAAAAACUGAAUGGCCAUAAGUUUCAAAACUGAAUGAACAUUUGAUAAACAAUGUCUAAAAAUGGUAUAACAAUACCAAACAAAUCUGAAAUAAUUGUUUAACAUGCUAUAGUCUGAAAGCCUCUAUACUGUCUGAAUAAGGAGUUGAUGGGACAUGUCCCUAACUAACUCCGGCUACUGAAAUAAACUAAAAUCUGAAAUAGUAACAUGAUCAUCAUGUCCUCGAAGGAUGAGGACUCACUUCUAACUCUGAUCGUUGAAUUGGGAUACUACUGGUUCUCUGAAGCUCGUGCUUCCAAACCUAUGGUAUAAGACAGCAUAGAGCAAAUAUGUUAGUACUUUGAAUGUACUGGUAUGCAAGUGAGGUAGGCUGAAUACAAUAGGUUCAUAUGCAUAAACAAUACUAACUGACUAACUAACAUGACCGUGAGAAUACAUGCACGUAUACAUAGCUGUAACUGAGAUCAUGAUAGGAUUGAAUACUUAGUUCUAACUACUGAGUCUUAUAACAUUGACAUUUGAGUCACUGAUGAUUGAGAAACUGAUACUGUAUUACUGAUUACUGAGGGACUGAUACUAUGUUACUAAUACAUGGAUAACUGUGUCUGACAAUUCUAAUUAUGAAGAACUGAUCUGGUUGACUGUAUCUGACAGUCCUGAAGCUGAAUACUGAUAACAUGAGUUCUGAUAACUGAUAUAACUGAUAACAUGAGUGACUGUAUCUAACAGUCCUAAAUCUGAUGGAACUAGCCGAGUUUCGUACUGUAUCUGAGUAACUAAAUCUGAGAUCAGAUCUAUCGAGUGGGUAAUCCUGGAGUCUAUUUAUAAUAAUAAGGAGUGAUUGUAUCUGACAGUCCUAAAUCUAUACUACUUAGCUGAAUUGACUGUAUCUCACAAUCCUGAUUUUGUAACUAAAACUGUGGGAUGUAUUCAUCUAAUCGACAUGCCCCAUACUAAGCUAACUGGGGUCCAACCUGUAACCCCAAUUGGAAGGGUGUCAGUACCAUGCCACUAGUAAAGACAACUGUUGUGGAGUCAGUCCUAAUCUAGCGGGUGACCCCUGGAUUCAGUCCUAUACAUUUAAAUACGCUAACGGGUGAUCCCUGAGUAUGCUAGUCCUAUAACGGGUGACAUCUCAUACCUACGCUAGUUAUGUAGUUCUAGAACUUAGGGAUUGCUUCUAGGGAUCUCAGUCCUAUCUAGCGGGUGAGUCCCCAUCCCUAGGCUCGCUCGGUGCUGAAUCCUACUCCCAUCUGAAAAACACUAAACUGAGCUGAUUAACUAAACUAAACUGAUACUAGUGGUGUUGUCUAGUGGAGCUAAACUAAAUUUAUUGAGUUCCAUUGACUGACGGAAUAUACUGAGUUCUGAGGACUGACUGAGAAUACUGAAGUUACUGAGAUUGACUGGGAAUACUAAGGUUACUAAGAUUAUUGAGCUACUGAAAUUACUGAGAUUUUUGAGAUUUCCUGAGUCACAUGAAUGACUGAGUUCUAUGGAUCAUAGCUUGAGUGAGAUGAUCAUGAAAACAUAACACGACUCUAGGUACACAGCUAAAUGUUCGGGUAUAAGUACCCCCAGGACUCGAUAAGAAGAAACUGACAUAGCAUGACUUACUUGAACGCAUGACCAACAACACAAUUCAUAAUUCAUAUAUUAAAGCACUUUAUCAAACAUGUGAUAUGCAUAAGCUUGUACAUACAUGGGGAUUUCAUGAUAUCAUACUAGUUGGGCAUUGUUCCUUCAUCUAGGCAUUUAAUUAUACACAUGGUAGGCAUAGAACAUGUAGACAACAUUAUACAAUAAUUAAUCAUCAUGAUUCAUCUCUAAUUUUACCAUCUAGGAUUUAUUCAUAGGUUCAAAUGAAUAUACAUCUAUACAAAUCAAUUCCACGUAAAAUUGAUCACCCAACAUGGAUUUGAAUUCAAAUGAUCAUUCUCAACAUAAACAAAACAAACCCAACAUGAAAUUCAUAAAGAAAUCCAUAAACUUAAAUUUAGAAAAGAGAUUCUUGGGCUUCACGGACGAAAGGAGUACAUGAAUGAACACUACGCAUACCUUGGUUCGUAAAUACACAAAGAUUGACAGAGGAAAUUCUUGAACUUGAAUCUUCUAUGAAAAACCCUAAUGUGUUCUUGAGAGGAUUUUGAGAGAGUAGAGUAUAUUUUGGUGUAAUGGAGGCUCAAAUCCGUGUUUUUGAGCUUAUAUAGGGUAGGAAAAUUGACCCUUUUAACCCUAGGACACGUAUUUAAUUUCUGAGAAAAUUUUGCAAUUUUCAUCCUUGGUGCGAUGCACCACUAUCGCGCCAAGUCACUGGAAAGUGACAAAUGGGAAAUUGCAUGGUGGCACGAUGCGGAGCUAUCGCGCUGCCACCUUGUCUGCGACCUGGAAGUUUGGCGCAACGCGCCACUAUCAUGGAGCAACACUGAAAAUUGACUAUUGCCAUUUUAGCUUUCUCUGUGAUGCGCUGAAGUCUCAAGUGAUACACUGUCUCACUAAAAUGCUCUAACUCUUCACCCUGAUGUCGGAUUUGGGUGAAUUUGGUAUCGAUGGAAAUCUUAUUCGAUUCCCCACAUUUUAAAAAUUGAAAAUCUUGAAAAUACCACGUGUACAAAAGUGGAUUCAUCUUUCGAAUAAAGCUUCUAACAUUCUUGAGCAACUUUUCAAGCUAGGGAAAGUACGGCGUAUUACAAUAUGGAACCACCUUGCCAUACUGCAUCAAAACACAACCCAUUCUCACCAGGGACACAUCACAAUAAACAACAAAACCAUUGGUACCCUCAGGCACCUUCAAAAUCGAAGUCGAAGUUAACUUAUCUUUCAACUUCUCAAAACUACCCUCGCAAGAAUCCGAUCAUACAUACUUCACUUUAUUUGAAUCAGCUUAGUUAAUGGGGAAGUAAUGGAGGAGAUACUUUCUAUAAUAACCUGUUAAAUCCAAGAAGCUUCAAAUAUCAACUGGCGUCAUAGGUCUAGGACAUUUCUUAAUCACUGUAACUUUUUAUGGAUCCACCAUGAUCGCUUUACUUGAAACAACAUGACUAGAUAAGUCACAACAUUCAGCUAGAAUUCACACUUAGGGGUCGUUUGGUUGGAAAACAUUUUAUACUGAGAUUAGUUAUGCUGAGAUUAGUUAUAUUGUGAUUAGUUAUCCUGAUAUUAUUUUUUAGUGAUUGUUUGGUUUGUGGUACUAAAAAUGAUAUGCAUUGUAUAUUUUUUUAAGAAUAGAUAGUUUGUUUACAAAAAUAUCCUUCACCUUAUUUAGCUUAAUAUUUCAUGUUAUUACUUAUUUUUUCCUAAAUUCUAUAAAAUGUUGAUAAUCCCAAUUUAAAAAAAAAACUCAUUAUUAAAAUAUGUGAAAAAAAAUUACUCUCAUUUUAUAUUAUUUAGUAUUAUUAAUAUUCAGAAAGUUGAAUUGUAUUCUUUUAAGAAAAUUAAAUUUUCAAACAUGUUUAACUAUAUAUAAAAAAACAAUAUUUUAUUUUAUUUAAACAUUACUAAGUUAGAAAGGGAAUGUCAAGAUACUUUAAUUACUUGACCAUGAUAAUUUGUAGGAAAAAUAAAAAUUUGAAGUAAGAUUAAUAACUACAAAAUAGAAAGAGAAUAAACCCUUGAAUCAAUUUUGAAUUUGAUUGUAUAAAUAGUUUUAUGGUGUCACUAUCAUUUUUUCAUGACUCUUCACUUUUGUAGAAUUUAAUAGGCCCAUAUAAUUGUUCAAAUUUAUCAAAAUGAAUGAAAAUUUAUAGAGUAAUUAAAAUUUACAUUAGGGAUAAAAUUGACAAAUAAAUUUGAUGUGAGGACUAUCAAAAUCUUAUGUUCUCUCUUNNNNNNNNNNNNNNNNNNNNNNNNNNNNNNNNNNNNNNNNNNNNNNNNNNNNNNNNNNNNNNNNNUUAAUUAAUUAAUUAAUUAUAUUGACAAUUAAAGGAUUUGGAGGAUAAUUUUAUCAUUUUAUGACUUUAUCCCAAGAUAAAUCAUGGUGGGAUUAGUUAUACCACCCUUUGGGUGGGUUAUUUUAUCCUGGUACUAUUUAUUAAUCCCGAAAUAAGUUAUCCCGAAUUUGACAACCAAACAUAGCACCAAAAUUUUAUCAUGGGGCUAUUAUUUCAAGAUCAAGACUAUUUGAUUUAGUACCUUACACCAAACGACCCCUUAGAGAAUUUAGAAUGCAAUCGUUGUUCCUUAAGGGUCUGCAACACUAUAAGGAGAUGAUCGGCAUGAUACGCCCCACUCUUCGAAUAUACUAGAAUAUCUUCAAUAAACACAAUGACAAACAAGUUUAGAAACUGAUGGAAUACCAGGUUCAUAAGAUCCAUAAAUGUCGUCGGGACAUUAGUCAAACCAAAGGACAUCACCAAAAACUCAAAAUGUCUAUACCAGUUUCAGAAGGCAGUCUUAGGGAUAUCUACCCCCUAAUCUUUAACUGGUGGUAACCCAACCGAAGAUCAAUCUUAGAAAAAUACUUAACACCCUGAAACUGAUCAAAGAGAUCAUCAAUCCUAGGAAGCGGAUACUUAUUCUUCAUGAUCACCCUAUUCAAGUGAUGCAAAUCAAUACACAUCAAAAGAAACCCACCUUUGUUAUGUACGAAGGAAACCGGAGCACCCCAGGGAGAAACACUAGGGCGGAAAAAACCCUUAUCUAGAAGAUCUUUCAACUGCUCCUUAAGUUCCUUCAACUCGGUCGGAGCCAUUCUGUAAGAAGGGAUGGAGAUAUGACGAGUGUCUUGAAGAAGAUUAAUCCUAAAAUCAGUUUUAUUAUCAGGAGGAAUACCAGGAAGAUCAUCAGGAAAUACCUCAAAAAACUCACAGACCACAGGGACCGAUUGAAAUGAAGGACCUUCGGAUCUCGAAUCCUUAACAUGCACUAAAUGGUAGAAACACUACUUGGAAACUAAUUUUUGGGCUCUAACAUAAGAAAUGAACCUUCCCUUAGGCACUAGGGAACUACCUUCCCACUCAAUACCAGUUCAUAUAGGAAUUGAAAACUAACCCUUCAGGUCUGAUAAUUAAGAAAUACAUAGCAUGAGUGCAACCAAUCCAUCCCCAAAAUCACAUCAAAAUCUAACAUGUCCAACUCUAUCGGAUCCAAUAACGUCUUCCUACCAUAGAUAGAUACCACACAACCCCUAUAAGCACUUCUAUCCACAAUAGAGUCACCCACUGGGGUGGACAAAAAAAGGGAUUAGGAAUACACUUAAGACCACAACCAAAAUGAAUAGCCACAUAAGGGGUUAUAUAAGAUAGAGUAGACUUGAGAUCAAGUAGAUAAUACACAUCACGAGAGAAGAGUUUUAAUGUACCAGUAAAAUAUCAGGAGAUGCCUCAGAUUCCUAGCGGGUAGUAAGAUCAUAAAAAAGAUUUCGACUAGUGUUGGAACCAAAAGUGACACCCUUUGAUGCAAGGGAUAAAGAAUUAGCAACAGGAACCUUAUUUGCUCCAAAAACAACCCUAGAAGGACAAUCCCAUUGCAUGCGACCUAUCUAACCAUAACUAAAACACCAAUUUCUUCCCAAGUCAUAAACUUCAUGAUGAAUCUAACCACAAAUAUGACAAGGGGGAUAGAAUAGAGUUAAUUGGGCCCUACUGGCCUGAGAUUGGGCACCUUGUGCCUUAAACCCACUAUUAUUAUGAAAAUGAUGAUUACUAGAUGGCUUAGGGUAUGGGGCGCCCGUCGUAGAAUAGGAAUUAGAAUUGCCCUACUUCUUCUUAGACCAUUUCCCAGCAUCUUUACCACUCUUCUACUGACCUCCACCCUGGUUCAAAUAUCAAAACUUCUUAUUCUGUCUUUCACUCGUCUCUGCUUACUUCUUUUUUUUCACUUCCACUUGUUGCAUAUACACCAUAAGUUUAGAGAUGUCCAUAUCCUUGUUUAACAAGGUAGCCUUUCUUUCUAAAAUCAAAUCACAGGAUAAUUUGGAACCAAACUUCCUGAUUCUAUCCCUCAUGCUAGAUACUUACUCAAGAGCAUAACACGAUAGCUGAUGAAACUUCAAGGCAUACUCCUCUACUGUCAUCCUAUCUUGGUUCAUAUUCAUGAGUUCCUUAGCCUUCUCUCUCAACUCCUGAGGAAAGAAAUAAUUAAGAAAAACACUAGAGAAGCCAUCCCACAAAGCAGACUCAACAUCAUCACCUCUAGACUGGUCCAACUCCUUAUAUUACUAAUACGCCAUAUCUAACAACUGAUAAGUAAUGAAAUCCACACCCUCCACAUCAGUAGCAUACAUCACACAAAAAUCUUCUCUAUCUCAUCGAUGAAAUUUUAAGGAUCCUCCUCAACCCUCGAACUAGCGAAAGACAGAGGACUCAACCUCAUAAAUUGCCCAACUCAAAUCACCUUAGAAGAUAGAGCAAUAGAAGAAACAUGCUCGAUCUGAGAGGCCACCAACUAGGUAAGCAAAUGGAUCAACUGGAAAAACUUAACAUUACAUACAUCAACUUGAGGUGUCCGAAGAGGUCUAGGGGAAUCGAUAGAACUCUACGUGGGGCUGUACAAUCAGGAGAUGAUGAUUUGGACCUCAUCAAAACUCCAUUAGUAAUAUGAACUACGUCGACAUUAUCCUCAGAUGGGAUAGAAGAGUUUCCAUGAGCAUUAGAUCUUCUGGGAGACGUGAUCUGAAAAGUGAUCAUACGAGAAUUAGAGGUGAUUUCAGGAUCUUAGACUCUAUAGAUUGAAAUAGAACAACAAGAAAGAAAAGCAUUCCUGAAUGUCUUGUAGGUUUCUCGUUAUAAGUGUGAGGUGCUACACACCCAUAAAAGAGACUUUACUUGACACAUCUUUGUGGAUACUCCAUGACAUAAAACCUGGCUUUGAUACCAACUUUGUCACAACUCAAACCAGGGACUGGCCAUGAUGGGUGUCACAAGUCCACCGAGGAUCGGAGACCACCCCCGUUGCCUAGUCAAACCGAACACAAUGCCCAACAGAGGUUGAAGUCCAAACAUAUAACAAGAUAUGAUAUAAAAGCUUAAAAGAAUCUAAGAUAACUAAACAUCCACCAACCAAUAACCAAAACCACCCAAGUCCAUAGCAAUAUCCGCAAAACCUAUAAAUAAUACCAAAAGACAAUCUAAGUCAGGACAUGCCCCCAACUUUGACAAUGAUAAUGGCAAUGAUAAUGUUAAUAAAAAUGUAAAGUCUUUAAUUCUACUCUAUAAAAGAAAACUGAUGAAAUGACCAAGUCUUCCAAAGAAUAAAAGCUCACCACUUCACCACAACGACCGACGAACAGAGUCGAUCCACUUAACACUGUGCGAGAAAAAUAAAAGUAUCUUUGGUGCAUGUCGCAUCGGGAUACAACAUUAUUUUGAUGGUUAGUGAGUUAAGAACUAGAAUGUAACUCAGGGAUAGGGGACAAAAUAAUGCCAAGUCAAACCCAAUAUUAUGAUAUGAUAUCAAACCCAAUAAACCCAAAUUCAAGUGAACAUUAUCAUGUACAUACGUAAAUAAUACGUCGGAAUAGGAAACAGGACUUAACAUGUACUUUAAAAUCAUUAACCUAGACUGUGUAGCAUAACCAUCAUAACAAGGCACACACGGGCUAUAUGUUUCCAGCUCUCUCCUAGCUGAAAAGACCCAAGUGUGUGUGGCCGUACAAAUAAGAGAAUAAUCACAUCAACAUAUACACUAUGGGGAAUUCGAACCUUCUGAUACAUACCAAGAGUAGCUCAAGAACUCUGUCAAUAACAUGGGGGACUCGAACCUCCCAAUUAUAUAAUAGUUGGGACUCGAACCUUCCAAUCAUUUAUACCUCCAUGUCAGCAACUGUGAUUUCCAGUAUUGGUCGCUCGAGACCUCCACUUUCACGGCACAACUAUACAACCCCCCAUUAAAACCCAAUUAAAGCACCUCUCACACAUUUCCAUUCAUUGAAUUGUGCUCCAUUUGGGCCCAAUUAUACCACAAAUCAAAAUUUAAGAUCCUACAAUCAGAAAAACUCACUCUUUACAAACCCACAUCAUAUAAAUGAAAAUUUCAGAUUGUAAAGUCAUAAAAAAUCAAACUUCACCAAUCUCAAAUGAUAUAAAUGAAAAUUCAAUAUUCUACAUUCAUAAAAACUCAAACUAUUAUUUAUAAUUGUGAUCUCCGAAUCAGCUUUCACACACUUCGAUUAAUUCAUAAAAACUCAAACUUUUGUGUGCAGUCGUGAUUUUUGGGCCAACUUUCACGCACCUCAACUAAUUCAUAAAAACUCAAAACUUUACAAAAGCCAAAUCAUAUAAAUGAAAACUCAAAUACUACACAAGCUUUAGCGGAAAGGAUACAAGGUCGCUAGAGCAUACAAAACCAAAGUGUUCUUUAGUAAUUGAUCUUUUAUAAGGUCGCCCAUCCCAAAUCCUGUUAGGAUUUUUGCCCUGAUUUUCUUACCAAAAUUAAGUUUUAUUUUUUCUUGGAAAGAAAAUAAAAGUAACCAUAAUUACUUUUACUUUUCUUGAAAGGAAAAUAUAAAAUUUUUCAUAUUUGACUAACAUUGUUCUUGGAGGAAAGCUUUUGAAACUCUAUAAAUAGAAAACCCCUUCUCAUACAACAACACAAUAGCAUCCACAAUGUAGUCUUUUAAAAGUUUCUCUCUCAUUAGUUUUAUGUUUUUAAUAUUAUUUUUAAUAUUUGGUUUUAUAUGUAGGCCAAUUAGUCAAAUCAUAAAUAAUAUUAUAUUUUUAGUUUACUUUUCUGUCGUCUGAUUUAUCGUCUCAAAUAGUUUGCAACUAUUAGCUUUCGCAUAACGCCCUCUCGAUUUCGAACCCAACAAGUGGUAUCAGAGCCUAUGGUUCAAUGAUCAGAUGGUUCAAUUGAGGAUAGUUUAAGAUCAAAGUUGCAACAAAUUUGAUAAUAAUGAAGAUAUAUAUCCAAAAAAGCUACAUGUGGAGAAAAAAAUUUCAAAGAAAUUUUCAACGAUCCUGCUGCUAAUCCAUCUUUAAAAUCAUAUCAAUUUUUAACUCAUGUUUAUGGGCUCCAAUUUUCAACCCAUACUUGCUUUAACGCUUGGGCUCCUUUCAACUCAUGUAUUUACUUUUAACGCAUAAGCUCUACUCUUAACCUGUGCUCACUUUCAAUGCACAAGGCUCCACUUUCAACCAUGUUUACUUAUAAUACAGGGCUCCAAUAAUAUCAACCCGUGCUUUUAUUUUUAAUGCAUAAGACUCCAAUUUUAACCCAUAACAAUUUUUAAUCAUAGUAAGCAGCAGUGAUAUAUGAAGAUCGUGUGAAGAAGGAGGGUCAAAAAUAUUUUGCCAGAAAAUCAAGCCAAAAAGGAGAGAUUUGUUAGAGGUUUUGCCCUGAUUUUCUUACCAAAAUUAAGUUUUACUUUUUCUUGGAAAAAAAAAUAAAAGUAACCAUAAUUACUUUUACUUUUCUUGAAAGGAAAAUAUAAAUUUUUUCAUAUUUGGCUAACCUCUUUCUUGGAGGAAAGGUUUUGAAACUCUAUAAAUAGAAAACCCCUUCUCAUACAACAACACAAUAGCAUCCAUAAUGUAGUCUUUUAAGAGUUUCUCUCUCAUUAGUUUUAUGUUUUUUAAUAUUAUUUUUAAUAGUAGAUUUUAUAUGUAGGUCAAUUGAACAAAUCAUAAAUAAUAUUAUGUUUUUAGUUUACCUUUGUGUCGUCUGAUUUAUCAUCUCAAAUAGUUUGUAACUAUUAGCUUCCGCAUGACGCCCUCUCGAUUUCGAACCCAAUAAAUCCUUUACCCAGGAGUUAUGAUUGGUCAUUUUCCACUAUGUUUCCUUGGUGGAUUGAACCCCUAACCUCAUUGUUGGAGGGUCUUUUCAUAUCUUGUCUUUCCUUACCCUAUAUUACUUCCAACCCUAAAUGUUAUUAUUUGGCAAGUCUUAGUAGCUUCUCAUUUAACAACUCGUCGCCACGAGUAGUAGUCAAGACAGGUUUUUUGACGCACACACACUACUAACCCUAUGACUCACCUUAUACGACUCGUCAAGUGACCCUAUAACUCGUAGGGUCCAAGUCAUAUCCACGACAGAACCAUUUGGGUAACUCAUUGGUCACCCUACAAUUAGCAUAUAAUGACUCAUAAAGUCUAGUCGUUGUCAGGGAAGAAACUUUGACACAUACACUAGUUGGCCUGUGAUUUGAGUCUAUAAGACUCAUAUGAAGACUUUACGACUCGUAAGGAGAGUCGUUAUCUCAAGGCUUAGAGAUUUCUCUGGUACCAACACUUGGGGUGUUUCAACUAUGUGACCUGAUUUCUUACAGUAUGUACACAUUAGAUCAUCCAGAAUAUUGAACAUGAUGAAAAAAAGACAAAAAAUUGAGAUAUGAUAAUUGAAAUCAAGGAACAAAUAUGAGAACUUGAGACAAGAAGAUUGAAAUCAACCUUAGUUUGAUAUCAUAUAAAAAUGAUAGGAAAUAAAAAAAAGAUUGCAAAAAGAAAUUGAAAGAUUUUGCAAAUAAAUUUCUUCUCCUUUUUUCUUAAAUCAAAUUAUAACUUUGUGCAAUGUCCCAUACAAACACACAUAUAUAUUUACAUAUAUAUAUACAAGUAAGAAAACAAAGCAAAACUUAAAAGGAAACCACCAAAUCUAAAUACGUAAGGACUCCAAAAUAACAUACAAAAUAAUAAAGAGAUGCACUCGUAAAUAAGGUAGGAUACUAGUCUAAAUAUGGAUGCAUAAAAAAUUUACCUAACUUGUACAAAAGAAAGCAAAUAAUAUGAAUAAGGAUUUUUUGAAUAUGGGACGAAAUUAAUGUGUUGAGGCCCAUUUUCUGAAUGUAUCUCUGAUUGUAUACGAAUGGAGUCAUACACUGCAACAGACGAAUAUAACAAUCAAAUAAAACAGAUACCAACCGAGUCCAAUGAAUAAAUUCAACAUUAACUCAACUACCAGUAACCAAUCCAACUGGCUAUCUCCAUGAUCCCUUGUAUUUUGAGAAGAAAACAUAACAAAUAUUUUCCUCCUACACAUGAAUAGGGUUAACGAGUAAGGCUUCAAUCACUAGUUUCACAUUAUAUCUUGGAUUACCAUAUCCAUCUUGGUUAUUUUUGUAAAAAAACUCACUUAGACGUGUGAAAUUGAUGACACACAUAAGGAUUUCAGCUGAUAUAGAAGUAGGCUUGAUGACAAAUCCUUCCAUGCUUUUUCGGCCAUUUUAGAAAGUUGUUCAGUCACUUCUUCGAAUGACAAUUUGUGCUCUUUUAUAUAGCAUUCUAUUCCAGUGACAAGUUGUCCUUUUUCUUUCUCAACCUUCAAGGAAAUAAACAUUUAUAAAAAUGAUAGUGUUGUAAGUAAAUGUGCAAGUACACGUAAAAUUUUAUAUAACGCGUAUCUUGUAAGUAGCUAAGUCAUCAUAGAUACGAGUAAUUAAUGUAGCAGCCACAAGAAUAUUUGGUUUAUUCAUCAUCCAAUCAAACGAUGCCUUUGAAAUAGAUUUCAUCCCUAAUAAUGAUAUUGGUGCAAGUAAAUAAAAUGUUCUGGUGAUCAAUGCAUUAUUGACAUGUCGGCUCAACGAAUUUAGUAGCCUAAAGGAAAAUUUUAAUCUGAGGUUUCAAGUACAUUCAAUAAAAUUAGUUUUUGUGCAUUACACAUAUAUCUCAUGUGCUACACGUGCAUCUCGUAUGAUGUACAUGCAUCUUGUGCAAUUUACGUGCAUCUUAUGUGCAUUUUGGGCGCUAUACAUGCAUCCUGUUGUCAGUUGGUAAAAAUAUUUAGAAAAAAUAGGGCCUCCAAAAAAUUGGGGCCUCAAGUCAUUGAUUUAGUAGCUUUAUGGUUGAGUCAGCCCGGAUUAUUGAGGUACUCUUCAAAUGGUGGCAUAUUUCCUUUGAUGAACCACUUUACUUCAAUAUAAUAGCUCCUUACGAUUUCUUUCAUCUAUUCAAAAAAAAAAUAUUUAUAAAUUUUGUAUUUUCUACCAAUAGUUCUAAAAUCUUUAUAAAACAAAUCUAUAUUUAUAAUCUAUAAUCUAUAAUCUAUAUCUAUAAUUUAUAAUCUAUAUCUAUAAUCUAUAUCUAUAAUCUAUAUCUAUAUCUAUAUCUAUAAUCUAUAUCUAUAAUAUAUUAAAAGUGUGAAGGGCCUUAGAAAUAUUGUUUGAACUUUUUGCCCUUCAUUAAAAGUGUUUGCUUUAGACAAAAUCGUAUUUUCACUAUAUUUUCUACUAUUUAAGUGUUGAAAAUUAAUUAAAUAUAUUUAUGGUAAAACCUUUCCUUAUUAGAAGUCAUCAGAAUUAAUGAUUUUUCCUAAUAUUUAAGUGUUGAAAAUUAAUUAAAUAUAUUUAUGAUAAAACUUUUCGUUGUUAGAAGUCAUCAGAAAUCGUAAAACUUUUCCUUAUUAGAAGUCAUCAGAAUUAAUAAUUUUUCCUAAUAUUUAAGUGUCGAAAAAAUUCAAUGGUGUUGUGGGCAAGGGAUGCAUAAUUUCAAAGUUGAAUCGGACUCCUUAAUAAUUAUCCAAAUGAUUUAAGGUUCCUGCAACACUUACUGGAAACUUAUUCAUAUUAUUGAUGAAAUUAGAAACAAAGUCAGGGAAAGAGGGAUAGAGGAAUUGAGAUUUCUCAUUGUUAUAGAGAAAGUAAUACUGUUGCAGAUAUGCUUGCAAAGCAUGCCACUACGCUCUCUCAGAACACAAUAUAUCUUCAAGAAAAUCUCCUACCUAAGGAAGCAAGGGGAGCGUUGGAAAUGGACAAGCUGAAUCUACCAGCUUUCAGAACUAAAGUGGAGAAACACUCCUCUUGGAUUUUUCAACCACCUUGAAUUGAAAUAUAGUUAUGAUCAGAAAGUUCUGUUCAUUGCGCAAAGACAGGAUCAAAAAUUUAAUAGCUACUUUAUGUUAGCAAGAAGUUUUUCAGGCUAUGUAAGUCAUAGACUAGUUUAAAAAGUGAGAAAAAGUGAUGGGUUCUUGAUUCCAUUACUAUUUUACCAAUUAAGAAGCUUAUGCAUGUUUUUUGGUGCUUUCUCGGAGGUCAGGUCUUAUACCCCCUCCUCUGUACUCUACAAAAGUAUUGAAAAAAUAUGGUUCGGAUUAAAAAAAAAGUGUCGAAAAUUAAUUAAAUAUAUUUAUGGUAAAACUUUUCCUUAUUAGAAGUCAUGGAAUUAGUGACAACUAAAACUUUUUCCAUUAAUUUAAGAAUUUUAAAUCAACUAAAUUUAAUUUUAAGAAGAUUUGAAAAAUCUAGAAAUAAAUAUAAAAGUGUUAGAAUAAGAAAAACUUAAGAAGUGCCAAAUUUUAAAAGUUUUAAGUACGUAAUAAGAAUAUAAUCAAUGAUUUUGUAAAGAUUUGACUUUAAAAAAAAGGAUUUUAAAUAUAGAAAAAAAAAAAAAAGAUAAUCGUACCACAAAUAUAGUUCAAAUUGAUGUGUCUCACUUAGCCUCUUACAGUAAGAGAAAGAGGUACUGCAUGACAAAUGCAAAAGUGAUGAUCGAUCAAUCACUUGAAACUUUUGGUGCUAAAAUAUAUAUGUGCUUACAUUAAAAUAUAUGUUUAUAUUUACAUUAUUAUAUUAAAAUGUGAAGGAUCUUUGAAAAAUGAGUUGAACUUUUUACAUAUCCCUACAAAUCUCCGCAAUAGAUAAAAUUAUAUAAUUUUAAAUAAUCAAACAUUACACAUAUGAGACACGUGCGGUUAAACUAGUAUUUUCAAAAAAGAUGAAAUGGAUCUUACUCAAAAGUAUAUCAAAUAAGAAAAAUGAACAACAUAAAAUAUGAUAACAUAUUCAUUAGAGUUUUACAGCUUGUAUGGAUGGUGGUUUGCCAUGGUUGGUAUGGUGUGAUAUAUUAUAGUAUGGUACAAUACAGUAUUUGGAUAAACUGUAUAAUUUUUAUUGUUUGGUUUGAUGGUAUGAUAGUGUAUCGUAAUGGGUAAGUUUACUAAAAUACCCCUAAUAAUUAUUAUUUUAAAUUUAUCAAUAAUUGUUAAUAAAGUAAUUUUCUUUCUACAAAUUUACCACAAAUCAUACCUUGUAAAUAUAUUAAGUUGUUUAAUUCUUAAUAAUUCUAACAAAAUUAAAACUUUACAUUCAUGAAAUAAUCAUGUAAACUACGACAUAAAAGUGGCAAGUAAAAGAAAAAAAAAUAUAAAAAUAGAUAUGGGACAAGAAAAUCAAAGCUUCAAAUGCAAUUCUUGUACUUUGUACAAGUCCCCAAUGUAAAUUGUGCUCCAUUUGGGCCCAAUUAUACCACAAAUCAAAAUUUAAGAUCCUACAAUCAGAAAAACUCACUCUUUACAAACCCACAUCAUAUAAAUGAAAAUUUCAGAUUGUAAAGUCAUAAAAAAUCAAACUUCACCAAUCUCAAAUGAUAUAAAUGAAAAUUCAAUAUUCUACAUUCAUAAAAACUCAAACUAUUAUUUAUAACUGUGAUCUCCGAAUCAGCUUUCACACACUUCGAUUAAUUCAUAAAAACUCAAACUUUUGUGUGCAGUCGUGAUUUUUGGGCCAACUUUCACGCACCUCAACUAAUUCAUAAAAACUCAAAACUUUACAAAAGCCAAAUCAUAUAAAUGAAAACUCAAAUACUACACAAGCUUUAGCGGAAAGGAUACAAGGUCGCUAGAGCAUACAAAACCAAAGUGUUCUUUAGUAAUUGAUCUUUUAUAAGGUCGCCUGUCCCAAAUCCUGUUAGGGUUUUUGCCCUGAUUUUCUUACCAAAAUUAAGUUUUAUUUUUUCUUGGAAAGAAAAUAAAAGUAACCAUAAUUACUUUUACUUUUCUUGAAAGGAAAAUAUAAAAUUUUUCAUAUUUGACUAACAUCUUUCUUGGAGGAAAGCUUUUGAAACUCUAUAAAUAGAAAACCCCUUCUCAUACAACAACACAAUAGCAUUCAUAAUGUAGUCUUUUAAAAGUUUCUCUCUCAUUAGUUUUAUGUUUUUAAUAUUAUUUUUAAUAUUUGGUUUUAUAUGUAGGCCAAUUGGCCAAAUCAUAAAUAAUAUUAUAUUUUUAGUUUACUUUUGUGUCGUCUGAUUUAUCGUCUCAAAUAGUUUGCAACUAUUAGCUUCCGCAUAACACCCUCUCGAUUUCGAACCCAACAAAUGGUAUCAAAGCCUAUGGUUCAAUGAUCAGAUGGUUCGAUUGAGGAUAGUUUAGGAUCAAAGUUGCAACAAAUUUGAUAAUAAUGAAGAUAUAUAUCCAAAAAAGCUACAUGUGGAGAAAAAAAUUUCAAAGAAAUUUUCAACGAUCCUGCUGCUAAUCCAUCUUUAAAAUCAUAUCAAUUUUUAACUCAUGUUUAUGGGCUCCAAUUUUCAACCCAUACUUGCUUUAACACUUGGGCUCCUUUCAACUCAUGUAUUUACUUUUAACGUAUAAGCUCUACUCUUAACCUGUGCUCACUUUCAAUGCACAAGGCUCCACUUUCAACCAUGUUUACUUAUAAUACAGGGCUCCAAUAAUAUCAACCCGUGCUUUUAUUUUUAAUGCAUAAGACUCCAAUUUUAACCCAUAACAAUUUUUAAUCAUAGUAAGCAGCAGUGAUAUAUGAAGAUCGUGUGAAGAAGGAGGGUCAAAAAUAUUUUGCCAGAAAAUCAAGCCAAAAAGAAGAGAUUUGUUAGAGUUUUUGCCCUAAUUUUCUUACCAAAAUUAAGUUUUACUUUUUCUUGGAAAAAAAAUAAAAGUAACCAUAAUUACUUUUUACUUUUCUUGAAAGGAAAAUGUAAAUUUUUUCAUAUUUGGCUAACCUCUUUCUUGGAGGAAAGGUUUUGAAACUCUAUAAAUAGAAAACCCCUUCUCAUACAACAACACAAUAGCAUUCAUAAUGUAGUCUUUUAAGAGUUUCUCUCUCAUUAGUUUUAUGUUUUUUAAUAUUAUUUUUAAUAGUAGAUUUUAUAUGUAGGUCAAUUGGCCAAAUCAUAAAUAAUAUUAUGUUUUUAGUUUACCUUUGUGUCGUCUGAUUUAUCAUCUCAAAUAGUUUGUAACUAUUAGCUUCCGCAUGACACCCUCUCGAUUUCGAACCCGACAAAUCCUUUACCCAGGAGUUAUGAUUGGUCAUUUUCCACUAUGUUUCCUUGGUGGAUUGAACCCCUAACCUCAUUGUUGGAGGGUCUUUUCAUAUCUUGCCUUCCCUUACCCUAUAUUACUUCCAACCCUAAAUGUUAUUAUUUGGCAAGUCUUAGUAGCUUCUCAUUUACAUAGAGCAAUACUAUAGAAAAUUGAAAAAAAAUUAUACCAAAUACUUAAAUAAUACACCCUUAGGGUGUGUUUGGUGUGGAGGAAAAUAUUUUCUAGGAAUAUAAGUAGGUUUAAAUAUUAUCCUAAAAGCAUUAUAUAUAUAUAUAUCCGAAAUGGUUACUCAACUUAUGGUUCAUCUCUCAAAAAAUCACUCAAACUUUGAUUUUCUUUCUAAAAGUCAUUCAACAAUGAGAAUAGGUGAGACUCAAGAGUAGGGUAAUGGGUGUUGUGGUGGGUGGGGAGAGGGAUGUUUAGGUGGGAGGUAAGGUGGAGGUUAGGUGGUGUGGGUUUGGGUUGGGUAGGGGUUAGGGUAGGGGCAGGGAUAGGGUGGUGGUAGGAUGGGUGGUUGUGAGGGUGGGAGGUGACAAUGUCACUUGUUUUCUCUACUCUCAUUACAGAAAUCAUAUUUUCAAAAAGAAUAUCAUUUUUCAAAACAAUUAACCAAUCCAACAUGAGAAAACAGAAAAAUAUUUUUCACCAAAUGCUUUCCCUCUUAAUUGAACACACCCUUAAUUACAAGUUAUUUUUCGACUCAAGACGGGGAAGACUACCAUGCAUACAUAUAUCGAUAUUGAUUCUUUAUUUCUAUUUAGCUUGGUUUCUUCCUUGUAGACAUUUCCCUUUCUAUUUUUCUGGUAAUAUAAGAAACAUAUAGAUACUAAAAUUUUGUCAACAGGUAUGAUAUUUGUCUGCAUACAAAUCACAAUACAAAAUACACAAAUAAAAUUGAAUUGACAAAGAAAUUUACAAAUCUGGGAUCUAUGAGGAUGAAAGAAAAUGGAGUACGUGAUCGAUAAAAUUGGGGAUACACCCAUGAACAUGUAUAAAUAACAAAAAACUAAGCUCUGUUUGAAGAUAUUUUUAUUCAUUUAAAACUCAUGCCGCUUUGUAACUUAGAGAACUUGUAUAGGUAAUACAUAAUUAAUAUCUCAAAUAGUUGGAAUAUUGAAAGUUAGAAACUUGAGUCAUGAUCGAAUAAGAUUAUUAGUCAAUAUUUAUAAACAUGUGAUUUUGAAUUAUAAAUUCCAUUAAAAAUAUUGCAUACCUGAGAUAUUCAUUUUUAUUUUUAUAUAUACAAGAAAUGAAUUUUUAUUUUUUGUUUGUUUGGACAGAAUUCUAUGAGUAAAUUCGAGAAAAUGUAGGGGAAAAGUAGGAUUCUUAUUAGUUUUUACAUGAUUUGUUAACAUGAAGAUUGGGCCUUCUAUCAUAGUAGGCCCAAGAGAUACUCCGGAUUAAAGAGUGGCCCAUCUACGUGGCCCGUCCAAGUGCAAUAUACAUUUUAUUUUUACUUUUAGUGUAUUUUUUUCAGGAUGUAUAAAACAUAUUGUAAUACCCUACUUAAAAGGGCCUAAGAAUUAAAAAAAAAAACUAAAAAUUAUGUAUAUACACAAGGUAACUUUAUCUUAUUACAUAAAACUCCAUAUUGAAAAAGAAAUAACAAAAAUCCCAAAGUAAUUAUUUAAAUCCCUUAAAUUUACUCUUUCUUUCUCAUCCCCCUCGUACAUAUCAAAAUACUAUUUUUUGCUCCUAUUUUAGUGCAUGAUUUUUGCUCCAUAUUUGUGCUUCUUUAUUUACGCAUAAAAUCAAGCUAACAUGAUCUGAGGAAUUUAAAAUUGUUCAGUUAUCAAUCAUUAACUGAACAAAGUUCACCUCUUCCUACUUAUUUUCUGAAAAAAAAAACUCAGUUCAAGAAAAAUCAAAGAAUGAUUAGAAAAUAAUUGUCAAGAAUCUAUUGGCAAAAUAUAUUUACUUUGAAAUCAAUACCACGUUGUUGCUGCUUCUUUGUUUGAGUUUUAGUUUUCACCAUUGUUAAUGGCGUAUAAAUGUUAGCAGGGUUUUGAUUUUAACGGCGAGAUGUCACAACAAAAACGUUAAUGAUAUUAUACUUUUCGAAAUUUGCUUUAUUUUUUUUUUAAAAAAAUUAAUUAACCCGUAAAGUAUAAUUUUUUUUUUGCAAUGGAGCCUGCUCGCGUAUUGUUAUUCCCGCUGUUGGUUUCGUUCUUGGUUCUUUUGGUUAUGAAGAACCCAAUUUCGCAGAGAACCGUUCGAAACACUGAAAUAAUCCAGUAACAAUGAAGAAAUUGAGGAAAGUUGUCGGUUCAAGUUCAAACAAGAAAACUCCAAAAUCGUCAAGUAAGAAAAAGGUUGAUGAUUCUGGACGACCAUGUCUGCCAAAGGUUUAGUUAUUAUUAAAAUAUGUAUUAGCAGCUAUUCUAUGUAUAAGAUUUCAUAUACAUUUGUUAAGAUUAUAUAGUGAAUUGUAUAAGGUAUUCGUGUAUAUGUGAAACAGUAUUAGAUUAUAUUUAUUACUUGUAUAAGGUUUACACAUACACGUGAAACUGUUGUAUGAGGUUGUCUUUUAUUUGUUUUGGCAGUAUGAUUCUAUGUAUAAGAUUUCAUUAUACAUGUACUAAUACUAUAUUAUUAAUUGUAUAAGGUUUACACAUACAUGUGAAACUAUUGUAUUAGGCUGCAUUUUUUUUUUGUUUUGUCUUUCUGCUUUUAUGUAUAAGAUUUCAUUAUACAUUGGUUCAGAUUAUGUACUGAUUUGUAUAAGAAGGUUAUACUUUUCAAAACAAUAAUUGCGUAGCUUUUGUAGGAUUGAUGAAUAAUUUUCAACUCCCAAAUACCUUAAUGACACAACAAUAUAGGGAUAUUUAUAUUGAUUUUUUGGAGAAUUGCAGAAAGCAGAUGUUGACCUUUUUUUUUUUUCAAAAUGUAAUGUAACAAAGAAGAAAAUUAAUUGUGAUGUUUAAGAUAUUUUUUAAAUUUGAAUUUCAGUUACUAUAUUUAAUCAUACACCACACAAUGAUAAUUAAUUAAUGACGUUAAUUAAGGAAGAGAAAGAUAUUAUCUUCCUUCUUAUUUUUUGAAAAAAAAAAAACAACCUCAGUUCAAGAAAAAUCAAAGAACGAUUAGAAAAUAAUUGUCAAGAAUCUAUUGAUAAAAAUAUAUUUACUUUGAAAUCAAUACCAUGUUUUUGCUGCUUCUUUGAUUGAGCUUUAGUUUAUUCCAUUAUCAAUGGCGUAUGAAGGUUAGCAGGGUUUUAGGUUUAGCGGCGAGAUGUCAAAAAAAAAGUUAAUGAUAUUAUACUUUCCGAAAGAAUAAUUGUGUUACUUUUGUAGGAUUGAUAACUAAUUUUCGAUUCCCAAAUACCUGAAUGUAACAACAAUAUUGGGAUGUUUAUAUUGAUUUUUAGAGAAUUGAAGAACGCAGUAGAAGAAUUUUUUAGUUUUUUUGGCUGCUACAAAGAAGACUAUUUAACCUUGCCAUUAAAGAAAAUAUUUGAAUUUAAAUUUCAGUUAUUAUUUUUAAUCAUACACUACUUAAUAUUAGCUAAUUAAUGGCGUAAAUUAAGAAAUUGAAAAAUAAUAUUUGAUUUAUCUUACCUUAAAUAUAAGAUUAACAGUUUUAUCAUACAUUCGAAUUAUGUAUGAGGAACUACCGAAUGUAUGAGUAUAUUUACCUAAUCUGGGAGAGAGAAAGCAUUAAGGGAUUUUAUGUAAUUAGUUUAAUUAGAGUGGGGAUUUAUGUGAUUUAUACUUAAAAAAAUUAAAGAUAAAGAAAUAAGUUUUAAUCAAUGAUUGAAUAAAAGGAAUAAGUUGGCCCCAAGCCCCGAAGUAAAAGGAAUUAGGGGUAAGAGUUUAGCCUACCAUUGCAAACAGUAGUCAAAAAAAUAAAAGGACGAGUUGAAGGAGAAAGUUUCUGGACGCGGUGAAAUUUCGUUAGUUAUAACCGCUGCUAAAAAAAAAAACUGUUUUUGCAACCAAUGUGGUCCCAUUUAAUUUUUUUAACAAAAAUAAAAAUUAAAAAUCAAUCACAUGUGGUCGCUUUUAUAUUUUAAAAUUAUCAAAUAAUCAUUACAAUUUUUUUAUAAUAAUUAUUAUUUUUUUGAAAACUAAAAGCGACCACAAGUGACCUAUUUUAGAUUUAAAAAUUAUUCUUCUAGAAGCGACCACUUGUGGUCCCUUUUAAUUUUAAAAAAAACUAAAAUAUUAAAAAAAAAAAAAAUACGACCACUCUUAGUUGAUUUUUGAUAAAAAAAAAAUUAAAAAUUUUACAAAAAAAAUGACCACAAGUUUUUUUGAUUUUAAAAAACUAAAAAAGAAAAUUAUUUAAAAAAUCGACCACUUGUGAUUGCUUUUAUUUAAAAAAUAAAUUCAAAACUAUUUUUAAAAAGAGACCACCUAUGGUCGCUUUUAUUUUAAAAAUUAGAUUAAAAAUAUUUGUAAAAAGCGGCCACAAUGGUCGCUUUUGGAUUAUAAAAAUAAUUAAAAAUUAUUUAAAAACAGACCACUUGUGGUCGUUUUUUGUUUAAAAAAUUGAAAAAGAAAAUUGAGACCACUUGUGGAUGCUUUUCUUUAAAAAUUAAACUAAAAUAUUUAUAUAAAAGCGACCACAAAUGGUCGCUUUUCUAUUAAAAAAGUAGAAAAAGAAAAUAUUUUAAAAAAGAGACCACUUGUGAUCGCUUUUUAUUAAAACUAAUAAAAUCAAUUAAACUUAAAUUUUGUAAAAAAAUAAACUAAGAAAUAUAUUAAAUAAAAUAAAUAAAUUAAUAAAUAAAUUACGUUUAACAUAAUCUUUAUCUUUUACUUAUGUUUCAAUAUAUAAAAUAAAUAUAUUUUCCGUUGUAUAUACGUUAAAUUACGUUAAACAUAAUCUUUGUAUAGUGAAUAUGUCUAUAUCAUACCGUUGAGGUAAUAAUACUAUGCUAUUGAAGUUAUAAUAAUGUAACGUACAUAUAUAAUCAAUAAUUCAUCAGAAUAUAAUGAAUGUGUUGUAUUAUGAGGUAAUAUACUUGUGGAUGUGAUGUAUAUAGUACAUAUUCAAGAAUUGAUAUAUUUAUAUCAUGUCGUGAUCGAUGAAUGAUGUAGUAAAAAUCUAGCAAAAUCUAUCCAAACAUGUUGAAUACCUUAUUUGAAACGAUCGAAGUAAUAAUGUAUUGUACAUUGAAGUUAUAUUAAUGUAAGCUAAUCAAAUUAAUCGAUAACUCAUCAAAGUAUAUUAUGAGAUAAAUCGCAGUAUAUUACGAGACAAUAUACUUGUGUAUGUGAUGUAUAUAGUCCGUAUUUAUAACCUGAUAGUUGAUAGAGUGUGUGUGUUUGCAUAGGCAUAUAUAGUAUAUAUAUUAUGUAGUGAUGUACAUAGUACGUAGUUCAAAGCUUUUAUAUAUAUAUAUAUAUAUAUAUAUAUGUAUGUAUAUGUAUGUAUGUAUGUAUGUAUGUAUAUCUCUUGUUUAGUGAUGUAUGUAGUACAUAGUCAAAAUUAAAGAUAACCAAAUGUAUCCAGUUAUAUAUUGAAUAACCUGAUAUCAUGUGAUCGAUCUAUCAAGGUAAUGGUAUAUAGUUGAACGUAUAAUAACAUAAGAUAAACUAAUCGAUAAUUUAUCUGAGUAUAUGUGAAUUGUAUAAUUAUGGGGGUAGUAAAAUUUUGUAUGUGAUGUAUGUAGUACGUAUUUGGAAGCUAAGAGUCAAUCGAAUAUAUGUAUAUAUCCGUAUAUCUCGUGUAGUGACGUAUGCAGUAAUCAAAAGCUAGAUAACUGAAUCUAUAUAUCAAAAUAUAUUGAAUAAUACGUUGAUAUAAUAUUAUUGAGGAAAUAUAUAUGCUACUUGUGUCAAUGUAGACAAGGGUAUAUUGUUGAAGUUGUAAUAAUGUAAGCUAAUUAACCGAUAAUUUAUCUAAUUAACACGUUUUAUUACGAGGUAUAUAUAAUAUCGUAUUUAAAAGCUAAUUAACCAAAAAUUCAUCCUAAUUUACGGAAUGCAUUGAUAUUAUUAUACGAUUGAGGAAAUAUACUAGUGUUAAUGUAAUGAUAAAAUAACUAAUUAUCUGAUUUAUAUAUACAUUGCAUUAAGUUAUUUGGACGUUAUUAUAAAUAUUAUAUAAUUAGUUAUACAUUGCACUUAUAAUUAUUUUUUCUCAAUAAUUUUGUAAUACCCGAUCCUUCACACGACCCAACCCAUCAAAAUACCCCAUUUUCCUUUGUAAUUACCCUAACCUUAGCUCACAAUCAAAACGCUCACAUCACAACUACCCUCACCGACCCAACCUCUCUCCGAAAGCAACUCAUCGAUAAUGACAACAGCUCAGCUAUGGCGAUAGCAAUUCACCAGCGAUGACAACAGCUCAACGGCGAUGAUAGCAACUCACAGACAACAANNNNNNNNNNNNNNNNNUUCCGAUCAAAUUUCACGAUUGUGUUUUUUUGGCUUUCAAGGCCUUGCAACUGACUUCGAAUCUCUUGGUGUUCCAUGGGGUAAGUUUAUUUUUCAUAAAAAUUAUAAAAUUUCGUAUGGAUUUAUGUGCAUAAAUUAAGUUUAUGAAUUUGCUGGAGACUAUGAUAUUGAGAAUUUCCUUUUAUGUGUUGUUUUUUGCUAUUCAGAAUAUUCUAGAUCUCUAUGUUCAUGAGGUGUUGAGUAAUGCAUCUGAGUAUAUUAUGCAUUCCUGAUUUGAAAAAUUUAUGCUCAAUAAGCUUGUGAUUACAUGAUAUACGUAUUUCAGUGACUUCUAACCCUUGAACUUUAUUUUAUCGUGCGAUUUUUUGAUAUUUUCGUUGCCUGUAAUUUGCGUAGGAUUUUCUAUCUGUGAUUUGGAUUUCUAGUAGUUGUUGUUCUUAAAAUUAGGAUAUAGUGUGUACUUUGAGGGUGUCUUUAUUGUCUUGCUGUUUUUAAACCUCUUAUGUUGCUUCAUAUUAUUUAUCGUACUAUCUCUUGUAUCUUGACUUGCGUGUCUGCUAUAGUAUAUUUGUGACUUGCACCACUCCUUAUUAUUUGUUUGGCUGUCCUUGGUGUCAGGCCAUUAGUGUGCUCUAUUUUUCUUACUGUUAGUUUUGUCCUUACCUUGGUUUUGUUUUUUCUCCCCAUUUGAGUUUAGUUUUGUUUCUUAAUUAUUUAUUUUAAUUUGUGUGAGCCUUGUAUUUCCUGCUGCUGCUUUGUUACUACCAUUGUUUAUAUUUUCUUGUGGUAGUGGUUGUGGGCGUUGAUGGUGGGAUAGGGUCAUGUUCGAGGGGGUUGAGGCGGGGGCUAUUAUGGGGGCGGGGGAAGAGGAAAAAGCGGGGGUGGGAGGGAGGCCAAGAUUUGGCCUCAGGGGCGGUAGAGAAAGACGUGUUGAUAGAGUUGGUAGACUGAGGGUUGGGGCUUGGAAUAUAGGGACUCUUCAGGGUAAGUCCAUAGAGCUUGUGAAGAUUCUUAGAAAGAGGAGAAUUAAUAUUGCGUUUGUUCAAGAGACUAAGUGGGUAGGGUAUAAGGCUAGGGGUGUGGAUGGUUACAAGCUUUGGUACUCUGGGACCGAGAGACGUAGGAAUAAAGUUGGCAUCUUAGUAGAUGAAGAUGUUAGAGGUCAGGUAGUAGAGGUAAAGAGGAUCAGCGAUAGGUCGAUGACUAUUAAGUUGGUCAUUGGGGGGUUUACCCUGAAUGUGUGUAGUGCUUAUGCGCCACAAGUGGGCUUGGAUGGGGAGGAGAAGAUGCUGUUUUGGGAGGCUUUAGAUAAGGUGGUGAGAGGCGUGCCUAGCUCGAAGAAGAUUGUUGUAGUAGGAGAUUUCAAUGGACACAUCGGGGCGUUACCGGGACGCUUUGGUGAUGUGCAUGGUGGUUUUGGUUUUAGGGAAAGNNNNNNNNNNNNNNNNNNNNNNNNNNNNNNNNNNNNNNNNNNNNNNNNNNNNNNNNNNNNNNNNNNNNNNNNNNNNNNNNNNNNNNNNNNNNNNNNNNNNNNNNNNNNNNNNNNNNNNNNNNNNNNNNNNNNNNNNNNNNNNNNNNNNNNNNNNNNNNNNNNNNNNNNNNNNNNNNNNNNNNNNNNNNNNNNNNNNNNNNNNNNNNNNNNNNNNNNNNNNNNNNNNNNNNNNNNNNNNNNNNNNNNNNNNNNNNNNNNNNNNNNNNNNNNNNNNNNNNNNNNNNNNNNNNNNNNNNNNNNNNNNNNNNNNNNNNNNNNNNNNNNNNNNNNNNNNNNNNNNNNNNNNNNNNNNNNNNNNNNNNNNNNNNNNNNNNNNNNNNNNNNNNNNNNNNNNNNNNNNNNNNNNNNNNNNNNNNNNNNNNNNNNNNNNNNNNNNNNNNNNNNNNNNNNNNNNNNNNNNNNNNNNNNNNNNNNNNNNNNNNNNNNNNNNNNAAGAAAUGAAGAGGGGGCUACUCUAUUGGACUUUGCGAGGUCCUUUGGGCUGGUGGUGGUGAACUCGGGCUUCUCGAAGAAGGAUGAUCACCUAAUCACCUUCUGAAGCGCGAUAGCAAAGACCCAGAUUGACUUUUUGUUGCUCAAGAAAGGGGAUAGGGUGUUGUGUAGGGACUAUAAGGUCAUCCCGAGUGAGAAUAUUUCGACCCAGCAUAGGCUCUUGGUUAUGGAUUUAGGUAUAAAAAAGGAUAGGAAGAGAAGGGGUAAGGAGUGCAGACCUAGAAUUAAGUGGGGCGGCUUAACGCCAGUGAAUGCAUGAGAAAUAGAGAAAAAGUUAGCGGGAAUGGGGGUGUGGGAGUGUAGGGGGGAUGUGGAUAGUAUGUGGGAUAGGUGGCCAGGUGCAUCAGGGAGAAUGCUAGUGAGGUGUUAGGUGUUUCUAGGGGCCGGGCUGGACAUCAUCGGGGGGAUUGGUGGUGGAAUGAAAAGGUUAAGAAGAAAGUGGAGACUAAGAAAGGGGCAUAUUCUAAGUUGGUUGAGAGUAAGGACGAAGAAGAGAAGCGGGUAAACAGGAAAGAGUACAAGUUAGCUAGGAAGGAGGCUAAGUUAGCAGUUACGGUGGCUAAGACGGCAGCAUUUAAGAGCUUGUAUAUAGGGUUACAGGAGAAAAGGGGGAAAAGUUGUUUAGACUUACUAAGGCUAGGGAGAGAAAAGGUCGUGACCUCGAUUAGGUGAAGUGCAUUAAGGAGGAGGACGGAACAGUGUUGAUGGAGGAUGGCCACAUUAAAAAUAGAUGGCAGUCGUAUUUUCAUAGGCUCUUGAAUGACGAAGGGAAUAGAGCUACUGUGUUAGGGAAGCUGGAGCACUCAGAGGAGUAUUGGGAUUUUAGUUAUUGUAGACAUUUUAAGGUAGAGGAGGUUAGAGAGGCUGUUUGCAGGAUGCGAAGGGGUAGGGCUAAGGGGCCUGAUGAGAUACCUGUGGAUUUUUAGAAGUUUUCUGGCGAGACUGGUUUAAGGUGGUUGACUGGAUUGUUUAACGGAAUUUUUAAGACGGCGAAAAUGCCCGAGGCUUGGAGGUGGAGUACUAUGAUCCCUCUUUAUAGGAACAAGGGUGACAUUCAGAGUUGCAAUAACAUAGGGGUAUUAAGUUAUUGGGUCACUCUAUGAAGAUUUGGGAGAGAGUGGUCAAGGUGAGGCUGAGACGGAUAGUGUUUAUUUUGGAGAACAAGUUUGGAUUUAUGCCUGGCCGCUCGACGACGGAGGCAAUUCACCUGGUGCGGACGCUGGUGGAAUAGUAUAGGGAAAGGAAGAAGGAUCUGCACAUGGUGUUUAUCGACUUGGAGAAGGCAUACGAUAAAGUCCCCAGGGAGGUGCUUUGGAGAUGCUUGGAGGUGAGUGAAGUCCCGGUAGAAUAUAUCAGAGCAAUUAAGGACAUGUAUGAUGGAGCUAAAACUCAAGUAAGGAUGGCGGGAGGAGACUCAGAGCAUUUCACUGUCUUGAUAGGAUUGCAUCAGGGAUCUACUCUUAGUCCCUUUUUGUUUGCUUUGGUGAUGGAUGUUUUGACACGACGUAUUCAAGGAGAGGUGCCUUGGUGUAUGCUUUUUGCAGAUGAUAUAGUUUUGAUUGAUGAGGGGUGUGUGAAUGAUAAAUUAGAGGUGUGGAAACAAACUUUUGAGUCUAAAGGGUUCAGGUUGAGUAGGAGCAAGACAGAGUAUUUGAAAUACAAGUUUAAUGACGUAAGGCUGAAGAAUGAGGUGGUAGUAAAGUUGGAAUCACAGGUGAUAUGUAAGAGGGAUAGUUUCAUGUAUCUCAGGUCCGUGAUUUAGGGUAACGGUGAGAUUGACGAGGAUGUCUCGCACCAUAUUGGGGCGGGAUGGAUGAAGUGAAAGCUUGCUUCGAGGGUGUUAUGUGAUAAAAAGGUGCCGCCCAAGCUUAAAGGCAAAUUCUAUUGGGUGGCAGUCCGUCCGGCCAUGUUGUAUGGAGUGGAGUGUUGGCCAGUUAAGAACUCCUACAUUCAAAAAAUGAAGGUGGCGGAAAUGCAGAUGUUGCGUUGGAUGUGUGGGCUGACUAGGGAGGAUAGAGUUAGGAAUGAGACUAUCAGGGAGAAGGUUGGUGUGAAUCCAGUGGAGAUUAAGAUGCGGGAAGUCCGAUUGAGAUGGUUCGGACACGUGAUGAGGAGGGGCAUGGAUGCCCCGGUUCGUAGGUGUGAGAGGCUAGCUUUGGAUAGUUUUAGGCGGGGUAGGGGUAGGCCGAAGAAGUACAAAGAAGAGGUGAUUAGGCAGGACAUGGAACAGUUACAGCUCACUGAGGACAUGACCCUAGAUAGGAAGAUCUGGAGAACGCGAAUUAGGGCAGAAGGCUAGGGUCAGUUUGGGUCGCUAGGGUAGGGAAUUACUUGGUGGGGGUAUUAUUCUUGUUAUGAUACCUUGUUUCAUGCUUUAUUAUGAAUCUGUUUACUUUUCUCUAUUUACUAUUACUUAUGGGUGUUGUAUUUAUGUUAUGCCAUCUUGUUCCCUGCUUUACUAUGAAUUUGUUUAGUAUUUCGUGUCUCAAGCCGGGGUUAUAUCGGAAACAACCUUUCUACUUAUUUAGAGGUAGAGGUAUGGACUGCAUACAUCUUACCCUUCCCAGACCUCACUAUGUGGGAAUACACUGGGUUUGUUGUUGUUGUUGUUCAUUUUCUUUUGAUAGAAUCCGAAUUCGAGAAAAGGAUUGCUUUGCUAUUUUUUGGUGACCGCUUGUCUCUUUCUCUUCAAUUUAGGCCAAGCAAAGGUAAGUUGAUUUCUCUCUAUUUUCUUAUAAUGAAGUCUUUAAAUGUAGUGUUCAGAUGGGAUUGUUUGUUGUAGAAGGAUUUGAAAGCCAUAGGAAUUUUGUGAUGAUUAUAUGGUGUGAGAGGGACAUCCGAUGCCUCUACUAAUUUGCUUUAUUAAACUUGUUGAAUUGUUUGACUUAUACUAUAAAUGAAUUAGUUACUUGAAAAUGUUUAAGUGUAGUUACUUGAAAGGUGAACUUGUGUUUUGAAUUUACUAAAGUGUGGUCACUUGAUAAGUGAAUUAGUGACUUCAAAAUGUCUAAGUGUAGGUACUUGAAAUGUGAACUUGUGUUUUGAAUUUAGUUAAGUGUGGUCACUUGAUAAGUGAAUUAGUGACUUCAAAAUGUUUAAGUGUAGAUACAUGAAAGGUGAACUUGUGUUUUAAUUUUAGUAAAAUGUAGUUACUUAAUAAGUGAAUUAGUGACUUGAAAAUGUGUAAGUGUAGUUACUUGAUACGUGAACCUGUGUUUUGAAUUUAGUGAAGUGUUGUCACUUGAUAAGUGAAUUAGUGACUUGAAAAUGUUUAAGUGUAGGUACUUGAAAGGUAAAACUGUGUUUUGAAUUUAGUUAAGUGUGGUCACUUGAUAAGUGAAUAGUGACUUGAAAAUAUUUUAAGUGUAGGUACUUGAAAGGUGAACUUGUAUUUUGAAUUUAGUAAAGUGCGGUCACUCGACAAGUGAAUUUGUGACUUGAAAAUAUUUUAAGUGUAGGUACUUGAAAGGUGAACUUGUGUUUUCAAUUAAGUGUGGUCACUUGAUAAGUGAGUUAGUGACUUGAAAAUGUUUAAGUGUAGUUACUUGAAAGGUGAACUUGUGUUUUGAAUUUAGUAAAGUGUAGUCACUUGAUGAGUGAAUUAGUGAUUUAAAAAUAUUGAACUGUAGGUACUUGAAAGGUGAACUUGUGUUUUGAAUUUAGUAAAGUGUGGUCACUUGAUGAGUGAAUUAGUGACUUGAAAAUGUUUAAAUGUAGGUACUUGAAAGGUGAACUUGUUUUUUGAAUUUAGUUAAGUGUGGUUACUUGAUAAGUGAAUUAGUGACUUCAAAUUGUUUAAGUGUAGGUACUUGAAAGGUGAACUUGUAUUUUAAUUUUAGUUAAAUGUGGUCACUUGAUAAGUGAAUUAGUGACUUGAAAAUGUUUAAGUGUAGGUAAUUGAAAGAUGAACUUGUAUUUUAAUUUUAGUUAAAUGUGGUCACUUGAUAAGUGAAUUAGGUACUUGAAAUCUGAACUUGUGUUUUGAAUUUACUAAAGUGUGGUUACUUGAUAAGUGAAUUAGUUUCUUCAAAAUGUUUGUGUAGGUACUUGAAAGGUAAACUUGUGUUUUGAUUUUAGUUAAGUAUGGGCACUUGAUAAGUGAAUUAGUGACUUGAAAAUGUUUAAGUGUAGAUACUUGAAAGGUGAACUUGUAUUUUGAAUUUAGUAAAGUGCGGUCACUUGAUAAGUGAAUUAAUAACUUGAAAAUAUUUAAGUGUAGGUACUUAAAAGGUGAACUUGUGUUUUGAAUUUACUAAAGUGUGGUUACUUGAUAAGUGAAUUAGUGACUCAAAAAUGUUUAAGUGUAGGUACUUGAAAUGUGAAUUUGUUUUUUGAAUUUAGUAAAAUGUGGUCACUUGAUAAGUCAAUUAGUGACUCGAAAAUGUUUAAGUGUAGGGACUUGAAUUAUGAACUAGUGACUUGUGUUUUGAAUUUAGGUACUUGAAAUGUGAACUUGUGUUUUGAAUUUAGUUAAGUGUGGUCACUUGAGAAGUGAAUUAGUGACUCGAAAAUGUUUAAGUGUAGUUACUUGUCCUGGUGAUGCACCACAGACUGCGAAAGGCCUAAGCCCCUAGAUGAUUAUUGCACCACAGAGGAUUCAAAUUCUAUGGCUGAGGAUGGAAAUGAGGAUAAGGAUGACGAGUAGAAGUGAGGAUAAGGAUGAUGAGUAGUAGUUUUAGUCUUUUGUAUGUUUUGUAGUUUAUUUUUGGAACGUUGAUAAAUUGUGUUUUUUAUAUUUUGAUUACUAAUGUUUGUAAUCUUAUGAUGGUUGAUUACAUAUUAAAUGUUGAUUGAUGGGCUGUAUUGUAUAGCUGGUUUGAUGGAUUCUAUGGAAUGUAGCAUAUAUAUAUAUAUAUAUAUAUAUACUAGUUUAGGUGUACGCACCUCGCGCGUGUACCUUGCUUUAUUGAGUUCAAACGUUACACUAAAUAGGAUAUUUAUUUAAAUAAUAAGGGUGAAUACAAUAAUUAAUUCAACAUCUUUUGAAGAAUUUAUUUAAUUAAACCUAACUUUAUCAAAAUAAAUUCUCAAAGUCGAUUGAUAUUCAUCUACCACCUGUAACUGCAACAGAACAACACGAUGAUAGAGACGUCAAAAUAAUAUAAUUAAAUCUAACCCUUUACACAAAUUUUCUUAAAGCCAUCUGUAAACUAUAAAAAAAUAAUACGAUGAUAGAGAUAGCAAAAUAAUAUAACUAAACUUUACCUUUACACACAAAAAAAAAAUCUCAAAACAGAGAUAUAAAAAUAAUAUAAUUAAACCUAACCUUUACCAAAAAAAAUUUCUCGAAGCCGUCUGUCAUUCAUCUAGCACCUGUAAAUUCAUCUACGACCUGUAAAACAAAAUAAUAUAAGAGUGAUCACAAAGCUUCAGUUUUUAUGAAAGUAAUUCUUGUCUGAGCGAAAAUUUUGACACUAAAGGAUAACUUGAAUGAAAACAAAGAAGAUAUAUAUAUACACACACGUUAAAUUUUUUUAUGUUAACAAAAAUAGUGAAGAAGUUGAGGGUUAAAAAAUUAAGCACCCACCAAUCUAUAUAUGCAACCGAAUCAAGUUAGAUGGACAUCAGUCAUAUUUUUUCAAUAAGUAAACCAAUUUUUUCUCUAGUUUAACGUACAUCUUAAUAUUUAUAGAAAUAUUUUCUUAAUAGAGGAGUCUAUAUAUGAGUCCUAAGGUUGUCCCAUAUAUUUCUUUUUUCUUUUCCUUUAAUAUCUUAGCAAUCAAAUUUUGGUAGUCAUAUUUCUUUUUUCUUUUACUUUUAUAUAACAACAACCAAAUUUUGGUGGAAAAUUGGGAAACGAAAAAUGAGGCGUGAUUCAUAGUUCUUUUCCUUAUAUGAAUUGUUAAUAAAUAAAAUUGUUAUCAAAUAUUAUUACUAUUUUUUUUAGUUUUGAUGGAAAUUAUGACAAUUGUUUUAAUCAUAUUUUUUAAAACUCUUUAUGAUGUAUACAAGGAAAAAGAAAACUUACCGAUAUUAUUUUCCAUAUAUUUUUCUCUAACCAUUUUUAGGACUUCUUAAUUUUAAAUAUUAUAAAUAUGGUGAUAUAUUAAUUAAAGAAAAUAAUUGAAAAGAUGAUUUUGUCUAUUGCGAAAUUUUUUAAUGAAGGGUAAAAAGUUCAAAUCACUUUUCUAAGGGUUUUCAAAUCACUUUUCUAAAAACCAACCACAUGUGGUCGCUUUUCUGAAAAAAAAUUAAAAUAUGACCACAUGUGGUCGUUUUCUGGAAACAAAUUUAUAAAAGACCACAUGUGGUCGCUUUUCUAUAAUUAAUUAACUAUUUUUUACAAAUGAUUUUACUAAAAAAAUUAUUAAAUAAAAUAAAAUAGACCACAUAUGGUCGCUUUUUAUAUAAAAUUUAUCAAUUAAUGUAUACAAAAGAGACCACAUGCGGUUGCUUUUGUUUAAUUUAAUUAAUUAAUUUAUUUACAAAAGCGACCACAUGUGAUCGAUUUUGUAAAAUUAAUUAAUUAAUAUAUAUAAAAAGCGACCACUUGUGGUCACUUUUCUUUAAAAAAAUUAUUUUAUUAAUUUUAUAAAAGCGACCACUGGUGGUCGCUUUUUUGAAUUAAAGAAAUUGAUAAUCAUUUUUAUUGAAAGAUAAUAUUGAAUUAUAGAUAUACUUUUUUUUUUUAAAAGAAGCGACCAUAUGUGGUUGCUUUUAAAAUUUCUACCACUGUCUUUGAGACCACACCUAGUGGUCGCCUUUAUGGUCGCAAAACAGAAAAAGCGACCACCUAUUGUCUCUUUUUGUAGUCGCUUUUCCUGUUUUUUCUAGUAAUGAACUAGAGACUUUUUAGUUGUUGAAUAUUUUAGGUGUGUUUCUGACUCUAAUUUUGAAUUUAUCUUUACCCACCCCUGUUUGUGAGAUUGUUUGGGUAUAAGAACUUUAAUACCUAUAACAAGUUAAAGUGAAUUUUAGACAACAAGCUCUACAAGAAAACAUGAAGCAUAGUAAUUGAAAUUGUGGUGGUUUGUCACCUGAAUUUGUUGGAUUAUAGAAUUGAUGAAUGGUAACAGAGAAACUAAAACACCCCAAAUUUUGGUCCUUGAAAAUUUCUUGACUUAUGGGCUUACUUCCCAGAUUACGACUCUCUCUACGAGUCAUAAGGUGUCAUUACGGGUCAUAAGAACCUAACUGUAGCCUGACCAGUGUGGAUUGGCUAAGUUUAUGUUAUGAUUACGAUUGGCUCCUAAUGAUUCAUAAAGACUCUACAUGAGUCGUAUAGUCCCAUCCGUAGCCAAACCAGUGUGAUGCCCAAAUGUUCUAUCUUGCCUAUGAUUUGACCAAACUAGUCGUAAUGUUUGAGUAUGAGUCAUAUGGUAUGACUCGUAGCCAAACCAGUGUGAGUGCUCAUGGAUGCUAUCCGAACUACGACUGGAGGACAUGAGUCGUAAGGUGACCUUACAAGGUAUAUAAUCGUCCGUAACGACUGGGCGAUAAUUUUUUAGUAUUUUAUUAAGGGAACUUUGGACAUUUUUUAUUUUUCCUAAAUGUGACCCACGACUUUCACACCUUAUUGGUACACCAUUUCCAUCUAUAACACACCAGAAUAACAUCUCCCUUCUCACAAAUUCUCUCAAGCAAGAGCAUUAGGAUUUUUCUCAAGGUUGAUUGUCUAGAGCUUCCAAGAACAAAUUCCCUCCAAAAUUGUUAUCCUUUCAGGCAUAUUAUUCUUUUUCAAAUCUUAUUUUGUGAAAAGUAUAAGUUUAAAUGGUAUAAUUGUUUGGAUUUGAAUGUCAGUUUUGACAUGGGUUGAGGGUUUUUGAAUGGUUGAUCCUUGAAUUAUUUUUUCAUGAUUUUUUUGAGUUGUUUAUGCAUUGAAUUAAAUAUUCUUGAACUAGUGGGGUGCAUGGGUGUGAGAAUUGGAAUGGGGGUCAAGGUAUUCCCCUAAAUUGAUGUUUUGAACUUGAAAUUGGUUUUGAAUAAUUGUUUCCCUCAACCCAAUUGUGUAAAUGGCUUUGAAUUGUGGAAUUGUUACUUGGUUUGACUUACUCACCUACACUAUUACAUUGCAUAAAUGGUUAAAUAGUGAACAUGAAUUUUGAAGGCCUUGUUGGCUAUGUUUUGAUUUAAAGAACAAAGGAGGUCGAGGCAUUCCUCCAAGUUAAUGAAAUUGUAAUGGCAAAAUCAUGAGCUUGCAAACUAAAUAGUAUGAUGAUAGCAUUGUGUUCCUUAAUGUAUUAUUCAUUAGUUAAUGAAUGGGUUACAUAAAACUUGUUUUAAUUGGGCUUAAUGGGGGUUAUGUAGCUAAGCCGUGAAGGUGUAAGUCUCGAAUGACUUAUACUAGAAACUCACAUUUGCCGACGUGAGGUUGGUCUAAAUGAUUGUGUGCAUAGUUCACACUAAUUAUACAUUUUGUAUCUAGGAUUGUCGUGGGGUCGGGGCUUUUCUUGGUCUUCUUUUACACCUCCAGUUCGUACAGCAAACACGCACUAUUGACCUUUCAACAGGGGAAGCUAAAUCCAUAUAGCCCGUGGAUUCCUGUUUAUGACGGUUGAGUUGCAAAGUCCAGAUUAAUGUUUUACUAUCAUGUUAAACCUUGUUCCCUAUCCCAACAUCUAUUAUAUAUAUGUAUGUAUGUAUGUGAACAUGUACAAUGAGUUUGAAUUGAACUUUUGAUUAACAUUACUUUAUCCUUAUCCUAAGUUACAUACUAGUGGUCACCCCACUAACCAUCUUCAAAUGCUAUAUCCCCACACGAUAUAGGAUCCGAAGGCACUUCUAAUUUUCCUGUGCAGUGAUAGAUGAUCUUAGAAUCGAUCAUUUCUUGAGAAGUGGUGAUCUUUCAUUCUCCGUUAGACUUGAUCAUUCCAUUGGUCUUUCCUCCUAUAAAUUAGAAUUGAAAACUUCAUAUUUACAUUGUCAUUGUCAUUGUCAUUGUCACGGUUGGGGGCAUGUCCCGAUGUAGGUUAUUUUCUGGUUUAGAGGCUUUUUGAAUUAUUGUGGACUGGGUAUUGGUUGUUGACAUUCUCAUAAUUUGAGUUAAUAUUUACUCUAUCUUGUUAUAUGUUUGAAAUUAAUUCGUUGGAUAGUGUAUUCUGUUUGACUAGGCAAAGGAGGUGGUUUCUGGUUUUUAGUUGAAUUGAGAUACCCAUCACAGCCUGACCCUAAUUUCGGUCGUGACAAAGUUGGUAUCAGAGCCAGGUUCAGGGUCAAUUGGGUGUCCUUAAAGCUGUGUUAAGUUGAGUCUCAUUCAUGGGUUAUAGCGCACCACAUUUAUAAGGGAGAGGCUAUGAGAUAUUUAGAAAUAUCUCCCUUUCUUAUUGUUUUAGUUUUGAGUUAUAGAGUCUAGGGUGUUAAAAUCUCCUCUAAUUCCCAUUUGUUCACAUUUUAUAUCAUGCCUCUUCAAAGGUCUGAUGCUCGCGGAACCUCUUCUGUCCCACCUGAGGAUAAUGUGGAUGGAACUCAUCUUACUUAUCGAGUUCAGACCUGAUCUAGGCUCCUAGAUCUUGAUUGUGCUACCCCACGUGUAGUUCUUUUAGUCUCUACUUGUCCUUCUUAGGCUCCUCGGACUGUGGCGAUCAUUCCUCAUCGCCCCAAGAAGACAUUUCUAAUGUUGAGUUUCAUCGAUCAAUCUAUCUAUUGACCUAGAUGGUAAUAUCUCAGUCACGUUAGUUAGGUCCUGUUAGUACUGUUGUGAGCUCUUGUGAGGUUAAUCGAGUUGGACAGUUUAUGAGGCUCAGUCCUCUAAUCUUUAUUGGAUCUAAGGUUGAGAAGGACCCUUAAGGGUUCAUAGAUGAGAUUGAGAAGAUAUUCACGGUUAUGCAUACUUUUGACUAUAAGGGCGUCGAAUUUGCCGUGUAUCAGUUGAAGGAUGUGGCAUAUUAGUGGUAUAAGGAGUGGGAUCAACCUAGAGGUGAUGAUGUAGAGUUGGCACUAUGGCAUGAGUUUUCAAAUACCUUCCUAAAUCAUUUUUUUCUCAGGAGUUAAGGGAGGACAAAAAUGGGGAUUUUGUGAAUCUGAAAUAAGGUAAGAUGUUUGUGAAAGAGUAUGCCUUGAAAUUUCAUCAUUUAACCCGUUAUGGUCCUGAGCUAGUAUCAAUCAUGAGGGAUAAGAUGAGGAAUUUUUCUUUGAGCUUGUUUCGAGACUUGGUGCUAAAGUACAAGGCCGCCUUUUUGGCCAGUGAUAUGGAUAUCUCUAGGCUUGUGGUGUAUAUGCAACAGGUUGAAGAUAAAAAUAGGAAACAAAUCAAAAUAGGGAAAAGGCAAAGUAAGAGCUCUAAGUAUUCUGGGCAGGGUGGAAGCCAGGGAAAUAAUGGUAGAGAUAGAAGGCAAUGGUCUAAGAAAAAGUAAGGAAAUUUUGGUUCUUAUUCUACGGCUAGUUCUCUAUAUCUUAAGUCAUUUGAUGAUUGCUGCUUUUAUAGAAAUAGUGGUUUUAAGUCAUAAUAAAACACCCUAGGUUUUGACCCUUGAAAAUUUCUUGAGUUUUGAGCUCACUAUUCUAGUAAUGACUCACCAAAUGAGUCGUAUGGUGUGGGUACAGGUCAGGUGACUGUAGUCGUUAGGUGUCAAGUGAAUGGUGGUUGGAGUUCUGUUAUGGUUACAACUUGGUGGUACUGGUCGUUAGGGGUGGUAACGGGUCUUUUGGUCGAUCCUUCAUCAAAUCAGAAACUUACUUGACUUGGCUCUGAGUACGAGUGGCUCACUAAGAGCUGUGAGGAUAGGUUACCAGUGGUAAGGUUGAGUCGUAUGUUAUUUAGUAUCCAAUUCUUUGGGUUCUGUCUUGGAUAUGACUAGACUGUACGAGUUAUAUGGUCAAGUCACAGGUGGUGUCAUGGAGUCAUAAGGUAGACAGUGUGUGGGUGUCCAACUUACUAUCUUUGUAAUGACUCAAUGGUACAAGUUAUAUGUUGUGGUCACGAGUCUAAGCAUCGACUCGUAACAACCUUCGAUCUUUUUACAGUUUUAAGAUGAGGGCACUUUAGAUAUUUCCCAUGUCCCUAUAAAACUUUUUGGUCAUUCACUCUACACUUUACAAAAUUAAACAUCCUCUUUACUCUCUAAAAAUCCUCUCAAGCAAAAUUGUCUAGGGUUUCUCCAAAGUGGUCAUCUAAGGGCAUAAGGAUCAAUUUCUUUUCGUAAAUCUUUGUAAUUCAGGCAUGUGACUCUUUCCUCAGUUUUAGUUUGCUAAAAUCACAUGUUUAAGGUAUUUUUCAUGAAUCAUUAAUGGUGGUUUUCAAACUUAGGUUGAGGUGUUUGAAUGCAUAUCAUUGAAUAUUGUUUCCUAUGGUUUAAAUUAUGAUUAUGCAUGUUUUUAAUUAUGGUUUGGCACAUGGGGUGCAUGGAGAUGGUGAUUUAAUUAAGGGGUCACGGUUGAGCCCUAACUUUGAUGAUUUUGUCUUUGAUAAUUGCAUGCCCUCAAACUAUUUGUGAAAUUGUCAAUGAGAAUGAUUUUUGUCACAUAGUUUGUUUUUCCUUGGAAUCUUUGCUUGACACAAAUAGUUAAACAAAUAUGAAUUGGUUUUGGUUGGUUCCAUAUUAUUUUGUAAGGGCCUUGGUGGCCAUGGUUUGAUUAUAAAUGGUUUUGGUUAAUUGGAAACGAUGGAGUCUAAUUUGGUUUAAUAGUUUAUAUGGCAUAAGGUAAAAGACUUGCAAGCUCUAAUUUUGGUAUGAUGAUACCAAUGGUUAAUGCCUAAUUAUAAGACUCCUUGGUAAAUGGUUGGGAAUGUGUAAAUGAUUUCAUAUGGGCUUAAAGGGGUUGAGAAGCAAAGUCAUAGAAGGUGGAGGGUCCCGAGGGGACCAUUACUGAAAACUCACAUUUGCUGAUGUGAGGGUGGUCUUCGUGACUAUGUGCAUGAUUUCACACUUUAUAUUUUUGGAUAUGUACUAGUCAUAUCAAGUUCUUUUUCUUUGAUCGUGUGGUUAACAUGCACUAGGGCUCUUUUAUUAGGGGUAGCUGAACCCAUCGAGCACGUGGGUGGUUUUAGGAAGGCCAAGCUACAUAACCUAAGUUAAGGAUUUAAAUACAUGUUAAACCCAGUUCCCUAUCCCAGUAUGAUAUAUGUAUGUAUACAUGUAUUUGCAUAUGGUUAUUUAAUUAGGUUUUGAAUGAUGAAAUUAUUUUACCUUUAUUCCUGAGUUACAUACUAGCGUUCACUCCGGUAACUAUCUUCGGGCGUUGUAUCCCCCUACGAUGCAGGAACCGGUCAUACUACCAUUUCUCCUGCUUAGUGAAUUGGAUUUCGGGACAGCUUUGAGUCAGAUUGAAGUGGUGAGCUUACAUACUCUGGAAGACUCCAUUUCAUGCUAUGGACAUCUUUUUAUUUUUGUUAUUUCUUUGGUUUUUGUUUUGGCUAUGGUCGGGGGCAUGUCCCAAACAAAUGUUCAUUGAUUAUUGUAAGAGGCUUUGUCAGACUACUCUAGGCAUGGGCGGUGUCAGUAUUAGUGUUAGCAUUGGUAUUGGUAUUAACAUUGAAAUUUUAAAUGGAUGGUUGAUUGGUUGUGGUUUUUGACUUUUAUAUUAAGCUUGUUUUAUCGUCUUUAGAUUAUCAUUGUUCUAUCUUGUUAUAUUUUUGUAAUUCAUGCGACAUAGGGUGUAGUAUGGUUAACAGUGGGGUAUUGAGGGUAGUCUCCGAUCCUGGGUGGACUUCAGACACCCAAUAUGACUUGGCCCUGGUUCAGGUCAUGUUAAAUUAGUAUCAGAGCCCUAGGUUCAUUUUCAAUUGGGAGUCCACAAAGCCGUAUCGAGUAGAGUCUCUUUUAAGGGUAUGUAGCAUGCCACACUCAUAAGGAAGAGGCUAUAAGUCAUUUAGGAAUCUUCCUCUUUCUUGUGUUCUAUUUUUGAGCUAUAGAAUAUAAGGUCCUGAAAUCUUCUCUAAUACCUAUUUGUUCUUUUUCCAGAUCAUGCCUCCCAGAAGAUUUAAAGUUCACAAAAAAUCCUUUGUCCCUUCUAAGGAUAAUGUUGAUGGGAACCGUCCUACUUAUGGGGUCCAAACUUGGUCGAGGGGUUCAGUUCCUGAUUUCUCUCCUGGAGUUCAACCAAUCCCUUUUAAUCCAUCUCUUGCUCCUUAGGAUAAUAUGAUGAAUGCUGAGUUUUAUCAGUAUAUUCAUAUAUUAUCUUAGUUGGUAGUUUUUCAGGCCGAGCAUGGUGCUUUUGUUACUUUAUCUUCUGAGGCCACAAGGGUUGGCCAGUUUAUGAGGUUGAGCCCUUCAAUGUUUACUAGUGUUAGGGUUGAAGAGGAUUCUUAAGGUUUUAUUGAUGAGAUAGAAAAAAUCUUUCGCAUUGUAAAUACUACUAACAUGGAGGGUUUGGAAUUUGUUGUCUACCAAUUGAAAGAUGUAGCAUACCAACGGUAUGAGGAAUAGGAAUAGUCUAGGGGUGACAAUGCUGAGUCAUCCCUGUGGGAUGAUUUCUCUAGUGCUUUUCUAGACAUCUUUUUUCCUUAGGAGUUAAGGAAGAUGAAAGAGGAAGAUUUUGUUAACCUAAAUCAAGGUGUCAGUCAAGGAGUAUACCUUGAAGUUCCAUCAGCUAUCUCAGUAUGCUCCGGAGUUGUUUUUUAGAAUAAGGGAUAGAAUGAGGAAGUUAGCUUUUGGGUUAUCCCAAGACUUAAUUUUGGAGAGUAAGGUUGCCUUAUUAAACAAGUACAUGGACAUCUCCUAAUUCGUUGUGUACAUGCAGCAGGUGGAUGAAAAGAAGAAGAAGUAGAUGGACAUUGGGUAAAGCCGGAGCAAGAAGUUUAGAUUUUCUAAGUAGGGUGGUUUCCAAUAACAGAGUAGUAGGGAUGGUGAAAAGUGGUCCAAGAAGAAGUGAGGUAGUUUUGGGUCUUACUCGACAGUUAGUGCUACCUACCUAAAGUCAUCGGGUGACAGGUGUUUUCAAGGUGGCAAUAAUUUUAGGGCACAGAAUGCCCAAUCUCAGGCCAGUGAGCCCUAAUCAGAUCCAUACUAUCCUCUCUACAGAUUUUAAGGUUGAUUGUAUUGGGGUUACUGUGAUGAAGAAAAGGAUAAGUGCUUUAACUAUGAUCGUCCUGGACUCAUGAUUAGAAAUUAUCCUAUUGGUAAGGCUACUUCUAGGGAAAACAAGGUUUUGGUUGCCUCUUCAUCAGCUCCGGCACCAAAGGGUACACCAUCUGGCUUCUACACUGGUCGGAACUGACUCUAUGCUUUCAUGACCUGUCAAGAGUCUAAGGCAUAGACUGAUGUCAUUACUGGUAUGUUUAAACUCUUUUCCUAUAAUAUGUACUAUUUACUUGAUCUGGGGUUCACUUUUUCUUAUGUGAGCCCAUUUGUGGCUGUGAAUUUUGGUUUUGGUCCCAAAUGUAUUUUGAUCCUCUUUUUGUUUCUACCAUGGUGGCUGACUCUUUGGUGUCUAGAAGAGUCUAUAAGGUUGUGUGGUAUCUGUGGGUGGAUGGGAGACUUUGGUGGAUAUGUUUGCAUUAGACAUGGUUGAUUUUGAUAUUAUAUUAGAGAUGGAUUAGUUGCACUCGUGUUAUCCUUUUCUAGACUGUCAGACUUGUAUGGUCAUCUUUAAAUUCCUAAAUGAGCCAAUUAUUGAGUGGGAGGGUAGUUCCCUAGCUCCUAAGGGGAGGUUCAUAUCAUAUCUUAGAGCUUGGAGAUUAAUCUCCAAAUGUUGUUUCUAUCAUUUGGUCCAGGAUAAAGAUUCUCACUCGGAGGGUCUUUCUUUAUAUUCCAUCUCGGUGGUAAAUGAAUUUACUUAGAUCUUCCCUGAUGACCUUCCUAAUGUUCCUUUCGAUAGGGAGAUUUGAUUUUAGGAUAGUUAUUAUUUCGGACACUCGUCCUAUUUCUAUUCCCAGUAUAGAAUGGCUUCAACUGAGUUGAAGGAGCUUAAGGAGCAACUAAAGGUUCUUUUAGACAAGGGUUUCAUCAGUUCUAGUUUGUCUGCUUGGGGUGCACCAAUUUUAUUCAUGCAUAAGAAGGAUGGUUCCCUUCGGAUGUGUAUUGAUUACAGGCAACUAAAUAAAGUGACAAUAAAGAAUAAGUAACCUCUUUCGAGGAUUGAUGAUUUGUUUGAUCAGCUUCAGGGUACUAAGUUUUUCUCAAAUAUUGAUCUUCAAUCUAGUUAUCAUCAACUAAAGAUAAGGGAGUUGGAUAUUUCUAAGACUGCUUUUCAUACCGGAUAUGUGCAUUUCGAGUUUCUAGUUUUGUCCUUUGGGUUGACCAAUGCUCCGACGGUAUUUAUGGACCUGAUGAACCGAGUUUUUCAUCAUUUUCUUAUUUAUUCAUUUUUGUGUUCAUAGAUGAAUUCUGGUAUACACUAAGAGUGAGGUGGAUUAUUCCAAUCACCUCCAUAUGGUAUUGCAAACCCUGAAGAAGAAGCAGUUGUACACUAAAUUUUCAAAAUAUGAUUUUUUGUUGAAUGUUGUCACUUUUUUGGGUCAUGUCAUUUCUAGUGAAGGGAUCAUGGUGGAUCCGCAGAAAGUUGCGGAAUUUAAAAAGUGGCCUAGACCCACGAAUCCAUUAAAUAUUUGGAGCUUUAUAGGUUUAGCUGGUUAGUAUAGGAGGUUUAUGGAAAGUUUUUUUUACUAUAGCUUCCCCAUUGACUAAGUUAACUUAGAAGAAGGUAAAGUUAUCAUGGUCUGAUGCUUGUGAGGGUAGCUUUGAAAAGCUGAAGAAUAGGCUGACUUCGACUUUAGUCUUGACUUUGACCGAAGGAAUGAAUGGCAAGGUGAUAACUUAUGCAUCUAGACAGUUGAAGGUGCAUGAGAAGAACUAUCCAACUCAUGACUUAGAAUUAUUGGUUGUGGUAUUUGCGUGGAAACUUUGGCAACACUAUUUGUAAGGCAUAUAUGUGGAUAUUUUUUCAGAUCAUAAGAGCCUGCAAUAUGUGUUUACUCAGAAAGAACUGAUCCUUAGGCAAAGGAGAUGGCUUGAGCUGCUUAAGGAUUAUGAUAUCAGUCUUCACUACCAUCCAGGUAAAGCUAACGUGGUUGCUGAUGCUCUUAGCAACUUAUCCAUGGGGUGUCUAGCUCAUUUGGAUGAGGGAAAUGAGAAUUGGUAAAAGAUGUUCACCAUUUAUAUAACCUUAGAGUUUGCCUCUUAGACUCUAAGGAUGGUGGUGUAUUUGUUCAGGAGAUAGCGAAGUCGUCCCUGGGUGCUGAGGUGAAGGAGAAGUAAGUGUUAAAUCCUAUCUUGAUGAGGAUCAAGGGUGAUAUAGGUAGGCAUAAAGCAAUGGCUUUUAAGGUUAGUGGCGAUGGUACUUUGCGGUACUAAGGGUGAUUGUAUGUUCCUAACAUAAAUAAAUUAUGAGAGAGGAUCUUGGCUGAGGCUCAUGAGUCACGUUAUGCUAUUCAUCCUGGUUCAACGAAAAUGUAUCAUGACCUUAAGGAGAUGUAUUAGUAGAAUAACAUGAAGCGUGUUAUAUCUAGUUUGAUGGCUAAGUGCACGUGUGCCAACAAGUAAUGGUUGAACACAUGAGACCUAGAGGGUUGAAUUAAGAAAUUGAGUUGCCUAUAUGGAAGUGGUAAGUGAUUAAUGCAGAUUUCAUUGCUGAUCUUCCUCGGUAUUGAAAUUUGUUUGAUUCGGUUUGCAUUAUUAUGGAUAGGAUGACAAAGUCUUCUUAUUUUUUGGUGGUGAGGACAAAUUUUUUGGCAGAGGAUUAUGCGAGUUUGUACCUCUAUAAGAUUGUGAAGUUGCAUGGGGUGCCUAUUUCUAUCAUCUUGGAUCGUGGUACACAAUUUUUAUGUCACUUUUGGCGGUCAUUCCAGAAAGGUUUAGGGAACAAGAACUAUGGUGGUUGUAUGGGCCAGCAAAAAGAACUAUUUAGACAUUAGAAGAAAUGCUUAGAGCUUGCGUGAUUGACUAUGGUGGUAGUUUAGUUGAGCAUUUUUUCUAUUAUAGAGUUUACUUAUAAUAAUAGCUACCACUCUAGCAUUGGAAUGGUUUCAUUUGAGGCCUUAUAUGGUAGGAGUUGUAGGUCUUCUAUUUAGUGGUUCGAGGUUGGUGAGGCACAGAUGUUUGGCCUGAAUUUGGUUCACUAAGCCAUGGAAAAGGUGAAGGUGAUUUGGGAUAGGCUUAAAGCUUCCCAAAGUUAUCUGAAGUCCUAUACAGAUGUGAGGUGUAGGGAGUUAGAAUUUGUGGUUGGGGAUAGAGCAUUCUUGAAGGUAUCCCCCAUGAAGGGAGUGAUGCAGUUUGGGAAGAAGGGAAAGCUUAGUCCCUGGUAUAUUGGUCUAUACUUGGUUUUGAGAAAGAUUGGCAAUGUUGCUUAUAAGUUGGAGUUUCCUUCUAGUUUAAGCUCCAUUCACUAGUGUUCCAUGUUUUUGUGUUGAGAAAGUGUGUGGGUGAUCCAUCGAAAAUUGUGCCUAUCAAGGAUAUUGGUAUUUUGGAUUCCCUAUCUUAUGAAAAGGUCCCUGUUAAAAUCCUAGAUUGGUAGGUUCGUCAAUUGCGGACCAAAGGCGUAGCUUUGAUAAAGGUUCUAUGGAGGAACCACAGGGUGGAAGAGGCUACACGGGAAUAUGAAGAGGACUUGAUGUCCAAGUAUCCAUUCAUAUUUCCCAUUUUUGAAACUCAUGCCUAAGGUAUGUGUUGAUCUUAACAUCUUUGUUUUCUAUCUUAAAGGUAGGAGUAGAUUGUGAAUUACGUAGUAAUCUAUUUUCUAUCUUAAAGGUAAGCAUAGUGAUGUCUGGGGAUUUAAUCAUGCUAGUUACUACCUUGUCCCAUCAUUCGAGGAUGAAUGAUCCAAGUGGGGGAGAAUUGAAACACCCUGGGUUUUAGCUCUUGGAAAUUUCUUAAGAUUUGAGCUCAUUGUCCUAGUAACGACUCACUAAAUGAGUCAUAUGGUAUGGGUACAGGUCUGGUGACCCUAGUCGUUGGGUGUCCAGUGAAUUGUGGUUGGGGUUCUGUUAUGACUAAAACUUGGUGGUAUGGGUCGUUAGGGUGGUGAUGUGUCAUUUGGUUGAUCCUUCAUCAAAUCUGAAACUUAGUUACUUGACUUGGCUCUGAGUACAAGUGGCCUACGAAGAGCCAUGAGGAUAGGUUACGAAUGGUAAGGUCGAGUCAUAUAUUGUCCAGUGUUUGAUCCCUUGAGUUUUGUCUUGGAUACGACUAGACCGUAUGAGUCAUAGGGUCAGGUCAUAAGUGGGGCCAUUGAGUCAUAAUAUGGAUAAUGUGUGGGUUUCCAACUCACUAUCUUGGUAACGACUCAAUAAUAUGAGUCAUAUGUUGUGAUCACGAGUCAAAGGGUAGACUCGUAACCACCUGCAAACUUUUUACAUUUUUAAUUUGGGGCCACUUUAGACAUUUCCCACUCAAUAUCAUUAAGACCCCACCUCUCCAUAACACUUUUUGGUAAUUCACUCCCCACUUUAAAAAAUUAAACAUACUCUUUACUCUCUAAAAAAUCCUCUCAAGCGAAAUUGGUUAGGGUUUCUCCAAAGUGGUCAUCAAGGGUUUAAGGACCAAUUUCUCUCUAUGAAUCUUUGUAAUUCAGGCAUGUGACUCUUCCCUCAUUGUUGGUUUAAUUAAAGCACAUAUUUAAGGCAUUGUUCAUGAAUCAUUAACGGUGAUUUUGAAACCAAGGUUGAGGGGUUUGAAUGCAUAUCAUUGAAUAUUGUUUUCUAUGGUUUAAAUUAUGAUUAUGCAUGUUUUUAAUUAUGGUUUGGCACAUGGGGAUGCAUGGGGAUGGUGAUUUAAUUGAGUGGUCAUGGCUGAGCCCCAAAUUUGAUAAUUUUGGCAUGACCUCAACCUAUUUGUCAAAUUGUCAAUGAGAAUGAUUCUUGUCACAUAGUUUGAUUUUCCUUGGAAUCUUUUCAUAGCAUAAAUGGUUAAACAAAUAUAAAUUGGUUUUGGUUGAUUUCAUAUGUUUUUGGAAGGGUCUUGGUGGCCAUGGUUUGAUUAUAAAUGGGUUUGAUUAAUUGGAAAUGAUGGAGUCUAAUUUGGUUUAAUGGUUUAUAUGGCAUAAGGUAAUACACUUUCAAGCUCUAAUUUUUGUAUGAUGAUACCAAUGGUUAAUGCCUAAUUAAGACACCCCUUGGUAAAUAGUUGGGAAUGUGUAAAUAAUUUAAUAUGGGCUUAAAGGGGAUUGAGUAGCAUAGCCGUAGAAGGUGGGGGUCUCGGGGGGACCGAUACUGGAAGCUCACAUUUGCCGAUGUGAGGGUGAUCUUGGUGAUUAUGUGCAUGAUGUCACACUUUAUAUUUUGGGAUAUGUAGUAUUCAUCUCUAUUUUUUUUCUCUGAUCAUGCUUUUAACACUCACUAAGGCCGUUUUAGUAGGGAAGCUGAACCCAUCUAGCCCAUGGGUGGUUUUAACGGAUAAACUACACAACCCAGGUUAAGGAUUUAAAUGCAUGCAAAACCUUUUUCCCUAUCCCGGCACGAUAUAUGUAUGUAUACAUGUGAUUGCAUAUGGUUAUUUAAUUUGGUUUUGAAUGAUGGCAUUAUUUUACCUUUAUCCCUGAGUUACAUGCUAACGUUCACUGUACUAAUCAUCUUCGGGCAUUGUAUCCCCACACGAUGCAAGAAUCAGCCAUACUACCAUUUUUCCUGCUCGGUGAAUUGGAUUUUGGGACAUCUUUGAGUCAGUUUGAAGUGGUGAGCUUACAUACUCUGGAAGACUCUAUUUUAUGUUAUGGAUAUUUUUUUAUUUUUGUUAUUUCUUUGGUUUUGGUUUUGUCUAUGGUCGGGGGCAUGUCUCAAUUAGAUGUUCUUUGAUUCUGUAUAGAGGCUUUGUCGAACUACUAUGGGCAUGAGUUAUGUUGGUAUUAGUGUUAGCAUUGGUAUUGGUAUUGGCAUUAGAAUUGGACAUGGAUGGUUGAUUUGUUGUGGUUUUCAUCUUUGGUAUUAAGCUUGUUUUAUUUUUUUUAGAUUAUCAUUGUUCUAUCUUGUCAUAUGUUUGGAAUUCAUCCGAUAUAGGGUGUAGGGUGGUUAUUGGUGGGGUAUUUGGGGUGGUAUCUUGUCCUGGUUAGAAUUGAGAUACCCGAUACGACUAGGCCCUAGUUCAAGUUGUGUCACACGAGUUUCCCAAUCUUUGGAUAGUUAGACCCAGUCAGCUGCGUCAUAUCCUCCUUGCAGAUUUUAUGGUCAGUCGUAUCAUGGUUUUUAUGAUAAAGGGAGAAAUAAAUAUUUCAGAUAUGGUCAGCCUGGCCAUAUUCAGAGGGAUUGUCCCUUUGACGAUGUUGCUACUGGGCCUAACAAGGUCUAGGUUGUUACUCCUUUAGCUCCUGCCCCAAGUGGCGCUACUUCUGGCUUCGACACUAGUUUAAAUUAUUUAUAUGCUCUUCCUACCUAUCAGGGUUCUGAGGCGUCUCUUGAUAUUGUUACUGGUAUGCUAAAAAAAAUUUCUCGUGAUGUGUAUUAUCUGCUAAAUCCUAGGUCUACCCUUUCCUAUUGACCCCUUAUUUGGCUAUGCAUUUUGGUUAUAUCCUGAGUGUAUUCCUAAUCCCUUUUCUGUGUCUACCUAGUGGGUGACUCUAUUAUGGCAAGGAGAGUCUACAGGGAUUGCCUGGUAUCUAUCUGUGAUAGAGAGACAUUGGUAGAUUUGAUAGAGUUAGAGAUAUUAGAUUUAAAAAUUAUCUUGGGGAUAGAUUAACUCCAUUCGUGCUAUGUUUGUCUUGAUAAUAUGACUCAAAGGGUUAUUUUUCGAUUCCUGAAUGAGCCGAUGAUUGAGUAUGAAGGGAGUUCCCUAAUGAUGAGGGGGAGUUUAGUCUCUUAUCUAAGAGAUCCAAAAUUGGUUUCAAAAGGGUAUUUGUAUCACCUGGUUUGGGUUAAACAUUCAAAUUCUUAGGGUCCUUCCUUGUCAUCUGUCCCUGUGAUCUAUGAGUUUCCCAAAGUAUUUCUCAAUGAUCUUCCAGGUGUCCCUCCUGAUAGGGAAAUUGAUUUUGGAAUUGAUCUUCUUAUGGACACUCGUCCUAUCUCUAUCUCUCUAUAUAGAUUGGUUCCACCUAUUUUGAAAGAACUCAAGAAAAAAUUAAAAGAUCUUUUGAAUAAGGAUUUUAUCUACCUUAGUUUUCUCCAUGGGGUGCGUCGGUACUCUUUGUGUAGAGAAGGAUGAGUUCCUUUAAAAUUGCAUAGAUUACCGCCAGUUGAAUAAGGUGAUAGUGAAUAAUAAGUAUCCUCUUCCUAGGAUUGAUGAUCUAUUUGACCAGCUAUAGGGUGAAAAGUAUUUUUCCCAGAUUGACCUUCGAUCGGCUUAUCAUCAGUUGAAGAUUAGGGAGGUAGAUAUCCCUAAGACUGCUUUACGAACUUUGUAUGGUCAUUUCGAAUUUUUUGUGAUUUCCUUUGAUUUGACUAAUGCACCGGUGAUAUUUAUGGAUCUCAUGAACUGGUCAUUCAGGGAGUUCUUGGAUUUGUUUGUGAUUGUGUUCAUUGAUGACAUCCAAGUUUAUUCUAAGAGAGAGACAGAUCAUGUUGAUCACCUCCGUAUAGUGUUGUAGAUCCUUAAAGAUUAGCAUUUGUAUCCUAAGUUUUCGAAGUGUGAGUUCUGAUUGAAUGAUAUUACAUUUCUAGGUCAUAUUGUUUCUUGUGAAGUGAUCAUGGUAGAUCCAAAGAAAGUUGCGGUGGUUAGGAAGCGGCCUAGACCGGCGACUUAAACAAAUAUUUGGAGCUUCUUGGGUUUAGGCAGAUAUUAUAGGAAAUUUUUAGAGGAUUUCUCUUCGAUUGUUGCUUCGUUGACUAGAUUGACUCAGAAAAAGGUAAAGUUUCUAUGGUCUGACACUUGCAAGGGUAGUUUUAAGAAUUUCAAGGAUUAGUUUACUUUUGCUAUUAUUUAUACACCAUCCGAGGGUACUGAUAGUUUUGUUGUUUAUUGUGAUAUGUCCCGUGUGGGACUGAGUUGUGUGUUAAUACGGCGGGAUAAGAUUGUGGCAUAUGUUUCUAAGUAGCUGAAGGUGCAUGAAAAGAACUAUCUGACUCAUUAUUUGGAGUUAAUAGAGAUAGUCUUCGGUUUGAUCAUUUGGUGCCAUUACCUGUAUGGGGUUUAUGUUGACAUCUUUUUAGACUACAAGAGCUUGCAGUACGUGUUCACCUAGAAGGAGUUGAGUCUCAGGAGAAAGAGAUGGGUUGAGUUGCUCAAGGAUUAUGACAUGAGUCUCCAUUAUCAUCCAGGUAAAGCUAAUGUAGUUGUUGAUGCUCUUAGCAGGUUAUCUAGGGGGAGCCUAUCUCAUGUUGAUAAGAAGAAGCGAGGGUUGAUAAAGGAUAUUCACAGUUUGGAUAAUCUUGGAGUUCAUCUUUUGGACUCUAAAAAUGGUGGUGUGAUUGUUCAGGAGGUGGGAAAGUCAUCUCUUAUUGCUGAGGUGAAAAAGAAGCAAGUCCUGAAUCCUAUCUUGAUACAGAUUAAGAACGAUGUUGGUCUGCAAAAAAGUGUGGCUUUCGAGAUUGGUGGUAAUGGUAUCUUGAAGUACCAAGGUAGGUUGUGUGUUCCUAAUAUUGAUGGGUUCAGAGAAAAAAUCUUGGUCGAGGCCCAUGAGUCGAGGUACAUAGUUCAUCUUGGCUCAAUGAAGACGUACCACAAUUUGAAGGAUGUUUAUUAAUGGAAUAACAUGAAGCGAGAUGUGAAAAAUUUAUGGCUAAGUGUAUGACGUGUCAACAAGUGAAGGUGGUGGAAGGCAAUUAAUAUGGAUUUCGUUACCGACCUUCUGCUAUCUCAGAAUUAGUUUGAUUCGAUUUGGGUCAUCAUCGAUAGGAUGACUAAGUUCGCUCACUUCUUGCCAAUGAAGACUACUUAGUCGGCAGAGGAUUAUGCUAAGCUUUUCAUUCAGGAAAUUAUCAAGCUAUAUGGUGCUCUAGUUUCCAUCAUAUCUGAUUGAGGUACUCUGUUCUUAUAUCAUUUUUGGCAUUCUUUUCAGAGAGGUUUGGGAACUAAGGUGAUCCUUAGCACCAGUUUUUCCAACCUUAAGUGGAUGGACAAUCAAAGAGGACUAUUCAAACAUUAGAGGAUAUCCUAAAGUCAUGUGUGAUCGACUUUGGGGGUAGUUGGGUUGAUCGUUUGUCUCUCAAAGUGUUUGCUUAUAAAAAUAGUUUUCACUCUAGUAUUGGGUUGGCUCUUUUCGAAGACCUUUAUUUUAAGACAUGUAGGUCUCCUAUUGAGUGGUUUAAGGUUGGUGAGAAUAGGUUAUUCGGUCUAGAUUUGGUUCACCAAGCCAUGGAAAAGGUGAAAGUGAUUUAGGAUAGACUUAAAGCCUCCCAAAGUCACAAAAAACCUAUGCGGAUAUGAGGCAUAGGGAGUUAGAAUUUAAUGUGGAUGAUUUGUGUAUUCUUGAAGGUAUCUCCAAUGAAGGGAGUAAUGCUAUUUGAAAAGAAAGAAAAGCUUAGUCCCUGGUAUGUUGGUACCUUUCAUAUUUUGAGGCAAGUGGGCCAUGUGGCCUAUGAGUUGUAGUUGCCAUCUAGAUUGGGUUUUAUCCAUCCAAUCUUCCCUGUUUUGGUGUUGAGGAAGUGUGUAGGUGAUUCUUCCUUUGUUGUUCCUCUUGAGAGAGUUUAAAAGGCCCCAGACUUUGGCCUUUGCAAAUUUCUCAAGCUUUAGGCUCUCUGCCCUACUGACGACUCACCAUACAAGUUGUAUGGUACGGUUACGGGUUAGGUGACCCUACUAGUAAGUUAAACAGUGUAUUAUUAGCCAAGUUCUAUCCUGGUUUGGAGAGACUCAUCAUGAGUUGUAUGAUCAUGUGACGAGUGGUUAGGGUCAAGUCGUAUGUUGUCCAGUGUCCAAGCCCUUGGUGUUUAGUGUUGGAUACUACUAGACCAUACGAGUCGUAUGGUCUAGUGAUAAGAGGGGCUAGGAAGUCAUAAGUUUGAUAGUGUAUGGUGUCCAAUUCUCUGUCUUGGUGACGACUCAAUGGUACGAGUCGUAAGAUGUGGUGACGACACAAUGAUUUGACUCAUAACCACCAACGAACUUUCUGCAGCUUUUAAGUUUAAGGUGUUUUGGACAUUUUCCACCCCAAGCCCUUAAGACCCCACGUCUUAUAACAUCUUUUGGUGAUCCAUUGCACACUUUACAAGAUCAAACACUCUCUAAACUCCCUCUAAAACUUCUCAAGAAAGAUUGGGCUAGGGUUUCUUCAAAGUGGUCAUCUAAGGGCUUAAGGAUCAAAAUUCUCUUCGUGAAUCUUCGUAACUUAGGCAUAUGACUCUUAGUUCAUUGUAAGUUCAAUAAAAUCAUAUGUUUAGAUCAUUGUUCAUGAGUCAUUAAUUGUGGUUUUGAAAACCACGGUUGAGGGUUUGAAUGCAUAAUGUUGAGUAUUGUUUUCUCAUGGUUGAAAUUAUGAUUUCACAUGUUUUCAUAAUGGUUUUACACAUGUGGGUAAAUGGUAACUGUGAUUUAAUAAAUGGGUCAUAUUUAACCCUAAAUUUGUUGGUUUUGGUCUUUGAUAAUGGUAUGCCCUCAACCUAUUUGUGAAAUUGUCAAUGAGAAUGAUCUUGUCACAAGCUUAAAUUAUGUUGUGAACUAAUGCUUGGCAUGAGAAUGUUAAUGAAGGAUGAAGGAUUUUUUAAAUGUUUUGAUGACCAUAAAUUGAAUUGAAUUGUGUUUUAAACUAAGACAUUGGCCUAAGAAUGUUGAUGAUUGGUAAAUGGUAUUAUGAAGGCCUUGUUGGCCAUAUAUUGAUUUUAAAUACCAAAUGGGUUUGAGUCCCUAAAAUGUUGAAUUAAAUUGAUGUCCUUAUUUAGAUAAUGGGUUUGAGUCCCAUGUUAAAUUUUUAUGGAAUAUUGUAUGCUUCUAAGUGGGCUUGGUAUGAUGAUACUAACGGUAUGACUUGGUAAGUAACCAAAUUAAUGGUUGUGUAUGUGAAAUGAAUAUUUUAAUUGGGUUUUAAAGUGGGGUUUGUAUCCGGGACAUAAAAGUGGAGUCCAAAAACCUAACAUUGGAAACCGCACUAGACGGUGUGGGUAUCUAUAUGAUAGGGAGGUUGGAGUCCCCAGAAUGAAUAUAUGAAUGGGAGGUUCGAGUCCCCAUGUUGUAUAUAUUGGUGCUUAAGACACCUUGAUUAUGCCGGGAGGUUCAAUUCCCCCAUAAAGGCAUAUAUGAAUAUGGAUAUUCUUUGGUUCGUGCGGUUACACGUACAAGGGCCCCUCCAGCUAGGGGAGAGCUAGGCACAUAUAGCCCAUGGGUGCCUUAUUUUUUGAUGGUUAUGCUACACAACCUAGGUUAAGGAUUUUCAAGUUCAUGCUAAGCCUUGUUCCCUACCCCAGCAUGUGGUAUUGUAUACAUAUAUUUAUUUCAUGUGAUAUUAUUCAUUGUAUAUUGUAUUGGUUUUGAAUUGCUAUUAUGGCAUUAUUUUUUUACUUUAUCCUUGAGUUACAUGCUAGCGCUCCAACCGCUAACCAUCUACAAAUGUUGUAUCCCAUGCAAUGUAGGCAUCGAAACUUCUUUAACUCUUCCUGCGCUGUGAUUAGGUGCUUGAGUUAGUUCGUGAGUUGACAUUGAAAUGGUGAGCUUCCAUACUUUGGAAGGUUUUAUUUUUUAGUCCUUAUUUCAUAUGUCUUAUACUUUCUUUGGCUACUAUCGGAGGCAUGUCUCGACAUUUUAUUGAUUUCAAUUUUGUAGAGACUUUGUUGGAUUACUGUGGACUUGGGUGGUCUGAUUGAUUAUUUUGGUGACAGACAGUUGUUCGGUUAUCGAUGGAUGGUAUGGACAUAUUGUGAAUUAUCAUUAGUGUUAAUAUGCGCUAUCUUAUUGUAAGGUAAGAAUUUAUCUGACAAUUGAGGGUGUUGUGUAGAUUUGGUUAGGUAAAAGGGGUGUUUUCCGGUCUACAUAGGACUUGAGAUAUUCAUCACGGCCAGGCCGUGGUUUUGGUCAUGGCAAAAGUGGUAUCAGAGCCUAGGUUCAUGGCCAAUUAGGUGUCCAUAACAUCGUGUCAAGUAGAGUCUCUUUUAUUGGUGUGUAGCAUGCCACACUUAUAAGAGAUAGUCUAUGAGACAUUUAGGAAUAUUUUCCUUUCUUGUUGUAUUACUUUGAGAUAUAGAGUUAAAGGUCUUGGAUUUCUCUCAUUCCCGUUUUCUUGCUUUUUAGAAUCAUGCCUCCCAGAUGAUCUGAAGCUCAUGGAAACUCCUUUGUUCCACUUGGGGACACUGCUGAUGGAACACACCCUAUUUAUGAGGUGCAGACCCGGUCUAGGUGACCAGUUCCCAAUUGCCCUCCUAGAGUUCCAGCAUUUCCCUCUAACCCUUCUCCAGCUCCUUAGAAUGAUAUGAUGAAUUCUGAGUUUAACCAGUUUAUUCAUAUGUUGGCUCAGUUUGUAGCUUCUUACUCUGAGCAUAAUGCUUCUGUUACUCCAUCUUUUGAGGCCACAAGGGUUGGCCAAUUCAUGAGGUUGAGUCCUUCAACUUUUACUAGUUUUAAGGUUGAGGAGGAUCCUCAAGCUUUAUUGAUGAGAUGGAGAAGAUCAUUAGGAUUUUGCAUGCUUUAGAUGUUGAAGGUGUGGAGUUUUCUUCCUACCAAUUGAAGGAUGUGGCUACCAGUAGUACAAAGAGUGGGAAUAAUCUAGGGGAUGUGAUGCUAACUCUGCACUGUGGGAUGACUUUUCUAGUACCUUUUUAGACUGCUUCUUUUCUCAGGAGCUAAAGGAGGCGAAAGUAGAGAAAUUCGUGAAUCUGAGACAAGGUAGGAUGUUGUUCAAGGAGUAUGCCUUGAAAUUCCAUCAGUUGUCCAGGUAUGCUCCUGAGUUGUUGUCUGCAUGAGAGCUAGAAUGCGUAAUUUUGUUUUUGGGCUAUCUCUUAAGGUAAUUUUGGAGAGUAAGGCUGCCUUGUUAAACAAGGAUAUGGAUAUUUCUCGGCUUGUAGUAUAUAUGCCAUAAGCUGAGAAAGAAAAGAAGAAGCAGAUAGAGGUUGGUGAGAGGUAAAGUAAGAAAUUUAGAUUUUUUUAUUAGAGUGGAGACCAGAAACAAAGUGGUAGAGAUAGGGGAAAGUGGCCUAAAAAGAAGUAGGGGUUCUAGUUCUUUCUCUACAGCUAGCACUUCUUAUCUAAAGUCAUCAGGUGAUUAUUUUUUUCAGCAUGGUGGGGGGUAGAGGGAACAAGGUGCCCAAUAUCAGUCUAGCGGGGCUUAGUGUGCUUCAUCAUAUCCUCCUUAAAGAUUUUUUCGUUAGCCGCACCAUUUCUUUUUGAGCCAAUAAGGUUCCUAUUACCUCUUCAUCAACUCCUGCACCAAGGGGUGUUGCUUCUACUUCUGAUACUGGCACUGGACAAAAUUACUUAGAUGCCCUUGUUUUUCGUCAAGACUUAGAGGCAUCUCUUAAUGUCAUUACUGGUACGUUGAGAAUCUUUUCUCGUGAUGUGUACUGUUUCCUUGAUCCGGGGUCUACUCUUUCUUAUAUGACCCUAUUUAUGGUUGUUCAUUUUGGUUUUAGUCCCGAGUGUAUUUCAGACCCUUUUUCUAUGUCUACCUCGAUGGGUGACUCUGUAGUUGCUAGAAGAUUUUAUAGGGCUUGUGUGGUAUCUAUUGGUGGUCGGUAAACAUCGGUGGAUCGAUUUAAAUUAGACAUGGUUGAUUUUUAUCUCAUAUUGAGGAUGGAUUGGCUGCACUCGUGCUAUGUUUCUUUAGACUGUCGGACCCAUAGGGUCAUAUUUAAAUUCUCUAAUAAGCCAAUUAUUGAAUGGGAGGGUGGUUCCCUAGCUUCUUAGGGUAUGUUGAUAUCAUAUCUUAAAGCUCGGAGAUUAAUCUCCAAGAGGUGUCUCUAUCAUCUUGUUUGGGUUAAAGAUUCUAACUCGGAAGGUCCUUCUUUACAUUCUGUCUUAGUGGUGAAUGAAUUUCUUAAUGAUUUCCCUGACAACCUUCCUAGAAUUGUUCCUGAUAGAGAGAUUAAUUUUAGGAUAGAUCUGGCUCCAAACACUCGUCCUAUUUCUAUUCCCCCCAUAGAAUGGCUUCGGUUGAGUUAAAGGAUCUUAAGGAGUGAUUAAAGGAUUAUUAAAAUAAGGGUUUCAUCUGUUCUAGUAUGUCUCUAUGGGGUGGAUCAGUAUUGUUCAUGCAUAAGAAGGAUGGCUUCCUUCGGAUGUGUAUUGAUUACUGGCAGCUGAAUAAGGUGACAGUAAAGAAUAAGUGCCCUCUUCUGUGAAUUGAUGAUCUCUUUUAUCAUCUUUAGGGUGCCAAAUUCUUAUCUAAGAUCAAAUUUCGGUCCGAGUAUUAUCAAUUAAGGAUUAGGGAGGUGGAUAUCCCUAAAACAGUUUUCCAUACCCUGUAUUGUCACAUUGAGUUCUUGGUAAUGUCAUUUGGCUUGAACAAUGCCCCUACGACAUUUAUGGACUUGAUGAAUAGGGUCUUCAAUCAGUUUUUAGAUUUUUUCAUGAUUGUCUUUAUCGAUGAUAUUUUGGUAUACUCUAAGAGUGAGGAGGAUCAUGUCGAUCACCUUCGCUUUGUGUUGCAGACCUUGAAAGAGUAGUAGUUGUACGCUAGAUCUCUAAAUGUGAAUUUUGGCUGAACACUGUUACAUUUUUCGGUCAUGUUAUGUCUAGUGAAUGGAUCAUGGUGAAUCCUUAAAAACUUAUUGUGGUUAAGAAGAGGCCUAGACCCAUGACUCUAACCGAUAUUCAGAGCUUCUUAGGUUUAGAUGAUUAUUAUAGGAAGUUCGUAGAAAGUUUUUCUUCUAUUGUGCCCCAUUGACCAUGUUGACUCAGAAGAAGGUAAAGUUCUUAUAGUUUGAUGCUUGCAAAGGUAGUUUUGAGAAGCUGAAAGAUAAGUUGACUUCAACUCUGGUCUUGACUCUGCCUGAAGGCACCGAGGUUUUGUUGUCUAUUAUGAUGCGUCUCGGGUUGGUUUGGGUUGUGUGUUGAUGCAGCAUGGUAAGAUGGUUGUGCAUGCCUCUAGACAGUUGAAGGUUCAUGAGAAGAACUAUCUGACUCGUGACUUGGAGUCGUUAGUCAUGGCAUUCGCAUUGAAAAUCUAACAUCACUAUCUGUAUGAGGUGUAUGAUGAUAUCUUUUCUAAUCAUAAGAGCAUGUAGUACGUGUUCACUCAGAAAUAGCUUAAUCUCAGGAAUAAGAGAUGGCUUGAGUUACUGAAGACUAUGACAUGAGUUUUCACCACCAUCUAGGUAAAGCUAAUGUAGUUGCUGAUGCUCUUAGCAGGUUAUCCAUGGGGAGUCUAGUUAAUGUGGAUAAGGAUAAGCAGGAAUUGGUAAAGGAUAUUCACCAUUUGGCUAAUCUUGGAGUUCUUCUCUUGGACUCUAAGGAUGGUGGUGUAUUUUUGCAACAGAUGGUGCAAUUAUCUCUUGGUUUUGAAAUAAAGAAGAAACAGGUAUUAGACCCUCUAUUGAUAAAAAUCAAGGAUGAUAUGGUUAAGUAGAAGGUGAUGGCUGUGAAAAUCGGUGAUGAUGGUUUCUUUAGGUACCAAGAAAGGUUAUGAGUUCCUGACGUUGAUGGGUUUUGAGGUAGGAUUUUAGCCGAGGCCAAUGAAUUAUGGUAUAUGAUUCAUCCCGGUUAAAUAAAGAUGUAUCAUGAUCUCAAGAUAUGUAUUGGUCGAAUAAUAUGAAGUGGUAUGUAGCUAACUUUGUGGCUAAGUGUAUAGUUUGUCAGCAAGUGAAGGCGAAGUGCAUGAGGCCCAGUGGGCUAAUCCAAGAGAUUGAACUAUUGAUGUGGAAAUAGGUGGUAAUUAAUAUGGAUUUUGUUACCGAUCUUCCACGAUUGUGGAAUCAAUUUGACUUUAUUUGGGUCAUCGUGGAUAGGAUAACUAAGUCGGUUCACUUCUUGCAAGUUAGGACUAAUUUUUUUGCCGAGGACUAUGCAAAGUUGUUCCUUCAGGAAGUUGUAAGAUUUGCAUGGUGUGCCUGUCUCAAUCAUUUUAGAUCGUGUUGCUUAAUUUUCAUCGAAUUUUGGGUGCACUUUUCAGCAUGGUUUGGGGACUAAGGUGAGUCUUAGUACUACUUUCCACCCGCAGUCAAAUGGGAAACCAGAAAGGACUAUUCAUACUCUGGAAGAUAUGUUAUGAGCUUGUGUAAUUGACUUUGGUGAUAGUUAGUUCGACCAUUUAUCUCUCAUUGAAUUUGCCUAUAACAAUAGUUACCAUUCUAGCAUUGGUAUGGCCCUGUUUGAGGUAUUGUAUGGUGAGAGGUGUUGAUCCCCUAUUGGGUGGUUCGAGGUUGGUGAAGUGAAAAUAUUUGGCCCGAAUUUAGUUCACCAAGCUAUGGAGAAGGUGAAGGUGAUUCGAGAAGGCUUAAGACCGCAUAAAGUUGCAAAAAGUACUAUAUAGGCAUAAGGAGAAGGGACUUGGAAUUUGAGGUUAGAGAUUGGAUAUUUUUAAAGGUAUCUCCCAUGAAGGGAGUAAUGCAGUUUGGGAAGAAGGGGAAGCUCAGUCCCCGAUAUGUUCGCCCGUACUUAGUUUUGAAAAGGUUUGGUAAUGUUGUGUAUGAGUUGGAUUUUCCCUCUAGAUGAGUUCCAUUCAUUCGCUAUUCCAUUUUUCCACGUUACAAAAGUGCAUAGGUGAUCCUUCAUUGGUUUUUCCAUUAGAGAACAUUGGUAUUUUGGAUUCUUUGUCCUAUGAGGAGGUCCCGGUUAGACUCUUGGAUUGGAAAAUUCAUCGGUUGCGAAUGAAAGACGUGGCUUUGGUGAAGGUUCUAUGGUGGAACCAAAAUUUUGAGGAAGCUACUUAGGAAACUAAGAAGGACUAAAGUCCAACUAUCCAUUCGUGUUCCCUAUUGUAGAAAUUCGUGCUUGGGGUAUGCGUGUAUUCUUAACAUCCUUGUUUUCUGACCUUAUUAAAGGAAAAAAUAUUUUUCUUGGAAUUUUGUUAUCUUAAAGGUAAGAGUAUAGGUGUUUGGGGUUUAAUUGUGAUAGUCAAUGUCCUGUCGUGACAUUCGAGGAUGAAUAAUCCUAAGUAUGGGAGACUAAAAUGCCUCGGACUUUGGCAUUUGCAUAUUUCCUGAGCUUUAGGCUCUCUGUCCUUCUUACGAUUCACCAUACAAGUCGCAUAGUAUGGUUAUGAGUUAGGUGACCCUAGAAGUAAGUUAACCAGUGUGUUAUUGGCCAAUUUCUGUUAUGGUUAUGAGACACUCAUCAUGAGUCGUAUGAUCAUGUGAUGAGUGGUUAGGGUCCAGUCAUAUAUUGUCUAGUGUCCAAGCCCUUAGUGUUUUGUGUUAGUCACGACUAGACCAUACGAUUCGUAUAGUCUAGUGAUAAGAUAGGCUAGGAAGUUGUAAGUGGAUAGUGUGUGGUGCCCGAUUCUCUAUAUUGGCGAUGACUCAAUGGUACGAGUCGUAAGAUGUGGUGAUAAUUUAAUGGCUUGACUCGAGACCACCUGUGGAUUUUUUACAGCUUUUAAGUUUAAGGUAUUCUAGACAUUUCCUACCCUAAGCCCUUAAGACCCCACAUCUUAUAACACAUUUUGGUGAUCCAUUACACACUUUACAAGAUCAAACACUCUCUAAACUCUCUCUAAAACUUCUCAAGAAAGAUUGGGCUAGGGUUUCUUCAAAGUGGUCAUCUAAGAGCUUAAGGAUCAAAAUUCUAUUCGUGAAUCUUUGUAACUCAGGCAUGUAACUCUUCCCUCAUUGUAAGUUCAAUAAAAUCAUAUGUUUAGAGUAUUGUUCAUGAGUCAUUAAUGGUGGCUUUGGAAACCAUGGUUGAGGGUUUGAAUGCAUAAUGUUGAGUAUUGUUUUCUCAUGGUUUAAAUUAUGAUUACACUUGUUUUGAUAUUGGUUCUGCACAUGUGGGUACAUGGGAAUUGUGAUUUAAUAAAUAGGUCAUGUUUAACCCUAAAUUUGUUAGUUUUUGGCUUUAAUAUUGGUAUGCCCUCAACCUGUUUGUGGAAUUGUCAAUGAGAAUGAUCUUUUCACAAGUUUAAAUUAUGUUAUGAACUAAUUUUUGGCAUGAGAAUGUUAAUGAAGGAUGAAUGGCUUUGUAAAGGUAUUGAUGACCAUAAAUUGAAUUGAAUGGUAUUUAGAACUAAGGCAUUGCCCUAAGAAUGUUGAUGAUUGGUAAAUUGUUUUAUGAAGGCCUUGUUGGCCAUAAAUUUAAUUAAAAUACCAAAUGGGUUCAAGUCCAUAGAAUGUUGAAUUGAAUUGAUGUUCUUUUUUAGCAUUGGGUUCGAGUCCCAAGUUGAUUAAUAAUAGUUAUGGCAUGUUGUAUGCUUGAAAAUGGGGCUGGUAUAAGGAUACCAACAGGAUGCCUUGGUAAGUAACUGAAUUAAUGGUUGUGUAUGUGAAAUGGAUAUUUUUAUUAGGCUUUAAAGUAAGAUGUGUAGCCAGGCCAUAAAAGAGGGGUCCAUAGGACUAACACUGGAAACCGCGCUAACUGGUGCGGGUGCCAAUAUGAUUGAGAGGUUUGAGUCCGCUGAAUGAAUAUAUGAAUGAGAGGUUCGAGUCCCCCAUAUUGUAUACAUAGGUUCUUAAGUCACCUUGAUUGUGCCGGGAGGUUCGAGCCCCUCAUAAAGGCAUAUACAGAUAUGGAUAUUCUCUGGUUCAUGUGGCUACACGCACUGGGGUUGUUACAGAUAGGGGAGAGUUGGGCCCAUAUAGCCCAUGGGUGCCUUGUUUUAUGAUGGUUAUACUACACAACCCACUUAAGGUUUUCGAAGUUCAUGCUAAGCAUUGUUCCCUACACCAACAUGUGAUAUUGUAUACAUAUUCAUAUUUUAUGUGAUAUUAUGCAUUGAAUGUUUUAUUGGUUUUGAACUAUUAUCAUAGCAUUAUUUUAUUCCUCUAUCCCUAAGUUACAUGCUAGCUCUACAACCACUAACCGUCUCCAGACGUUAUAUCCCCACACGAUAUAGGCACCAAAACUUCUUCUACUCUUUCUGCGAUGUGAUCAGGUGCUCGAGUUAGUUCAUGAGUUGACAUUAAAGUGGUGAGCUUCCAUACUUUGUAAGGCUUCAUUAUGGUCCUUAUUUCACAUGUCUUAGACAUUGUUUUCGCUACUGUCGAGGGAAUGUCUUGAUAUUUUAUUGAUUUCAAUUUGUAGAGGCUUUGUUGGAUUAUUGUGGACUUAGGUGGUUUGGUUGAUUGUUUUGGUAAUGGACAGUUGUUUGAUUAUUGGUGGAUGGUAUAGAUAUUUGUGAAUUAUAAUUAGUUUUAUUAUGUGCUAUCUUGUUAUAUGGUAAAAAUUUAUUUGACAAUUGAGGGUGUCCUGUUGAUUUGGUUAGGUAAAAGGGGUGUUCUCUAGUCCAAGUAGGACUUGAGAUACCCAUCACGGCUAGUCCCUAGUUUGGGUCAUGACAGUCAUGGUGUUUCAAAUUCUUUGUUCUAUGAUAAGUCUCGAUGGAAAUUUUGGAUAGGCAAGUCCAUCGUAUGAGGACUAAGGAUGUGACUUUGGUGAAGGUUCUAUGGAGGAACCAUAAGGUUAAAAAAGCUACUUGGGAAGGCGAAGAGAUAUAAAGUCCAAAUAUCCAUUCUUUUUUCCCGCUUUGGAUAAUUGUGCAUGAGGUAUGUGUAUUCCCUAACAUCUUUGUUUUCUAUCUUUAUUAAAGGUAUGUAUGGUUUUAAUCUGUGUUAAAUCGUGCUAAUGGACACCUUGACUCGUUAUUCAAGGAAAAAUUAUCCUAAGGAGGGGGGAGGGGGAGAAGAAUUAAACACCUUGAAGGAUUAAACACCUUGAAUUUUGGUCCUUGAAAAUUUCUUGACCUAUGGGCUUACUACCCAGAUUACAACUCUCCCUACGAAUCAUAAGGUGUUAUUAUGGGUCACACGAUCCUAAUCGUAGAUGACCAGUUUGGAUUGUCCAAGUUUUUUUGUUAUGAUUGGCUUCUAACAAGUCGUAAAAACUUUAUACGAGUAGUAUAGUCCUAUCCAUAGUCAAACCAGUGUGAUGCUCAAAUGUUCUGUCUUGCCUACGAUUUGACCAAACUAGUUGUAGUGUUUGAGUAAAACUCAUAUGGUACAAAUCAUAGCCAGACCUAUGUGGGUUCCCAUGGAUACUGCCCAGAAUACGAAUGGAGGACACGAGUCGUAAGGUCAUUCGUAACAACUAGGCGAUAAUUUUUCAGUGUUUCAUUAAGGGGACUUUGGAUAUUUCCUUUUUUCCCCAAAUAUGACCCCACAACUUUAAAACCAUAUUAGGACCCCUUUCCCAUCAAUAACACACCAGAAUAACUUCACCCUUCUCACAAAUUCUCUCAAGCAAGAGCAUUAGGGUUUUUCUUAAGGUUGAUUGUCUAGAGCUUCCAAGGACAAAUUCCCUAAAAAAAUUGGCAUAUUACUCUUACCUAAAUCUUAUUUUGUGAAAAUCAUGUGUUUAAAUGGUUUAAUUGUAUGGUUUGAAUGUGGAUUUUGACAUGGCUUCAAGGUUUUAGAAUGGUUGACCCUUGAAUUGUUUCUUAUGGUUUUUAUGAGUUGUUUAUGCAUUGAAUUAAGGUUUUUGAACUAAUGGGGUGCAUGGGUGAGGGUAUUGGAACAGAGGUCAAAGUAUUCCCCUAAAUUGAUGCUUUGAACUUGGAAUUGGUUUUGAAUAAUUGUUUCCCUCAACUCACUUAUGUAAAUGGCUUUGAAUUGUGGAAUUGUCACUUGGUUUGACUUACUCACCUACGAUGUUCCAUUACAUAAAUGAUUAAACAGUGAACAUAGUUUUUUAAGGCCUUGUUGUCUAUGUUUUGAUUUAAUUAAUAAAGGGGGUUGAGGCAUUCCCCCAAGUUAAUGAAAUUGUAUUGGCAAAAUCAUGAGCUUGCAAGCUAAACAGUAUGACAAUACCGUGGUGUGCCUUAAUGUAUGAUUCCUUGAUUAAUGAAUGGGUUACAUAAAACUUGUUUAAUUAUGCUUAAUGGGUAUUAUGUAGCUAAGCGGUGAAAGUGUGGGUCUCAAAUGACUUAUACUGGAAGCCGACGUGAGGAUUGGUAUAAAUGACUAUAUGCAUGGUUCACGCUAUUGAUACAUUUUGUAUCUAAAAUUGACUAGGGGUUGGGGCAUUUCCUGUUCUUCAUCGAUACCUCCGGUUCGUGCGGCUAACAUGCACUGGGGUUUUCUAAGAAGGAUGAGCUGAACCCAUAUAGCCCGUGGGUGCCUAUUUAUGAUGGUUGAGCCACAUAGUCCAAGUUAAUGUUUUACUAUCAUGUUAAACCUUGUUCCCUAUUGCAGCAUCUAUUAUAUAUAUGUACGGAGGUAAGUGAAAAUGUAUAGUGAGUUUGAAAUUGAAUUUUGGAUUGAAUACUUUACCUUAUCCUGAGUCACAUGUUAGUGCUCACCCUAUUAAUAGUCUUCGAACGUUGUAACCCCACGCGAUUCAGGUUUCGAAGAAACUUCUACUUUUCCUGCGCAGUGAUAAGUGUUCUCAGAGUCAUUUAUUUGUAGUGAAGUUGUGAGCUUCCAUUCUUCGGAAGACUUGAUCAUUCCAUUGGUUUUUCUUCCACAAAUUAGAAUUGAAGACUUCAUAUUUAUAUUGUCACUGUCAUUGUCAGGGUCGGGGGAAUGUCCCGACGUAGGUUGUUUUCUAGUUUAGAGGCUUUGUGGAAUACUGCGGACUGGGGUAUUGGUUGUUGACAUUCUCAGACUUUGAGUUACUAUUUACUCUAUCGUGUUAUAUAUCCAAAAUUUAUCUGCUGGCUAGUGAAUUAUGUUCUAUUUGACUAGGCAAAGGGGGUGAUCUCCAGUCCUCGGUGGACUUGAGAUACCCGUCACGGCCAGGCCUUAGUUUGGGUCAUGACACAAACGUAUAUGGAUUUGUAACUUCACACAUAAAUCGAUUAAUAAGAUCACAUCGAGUUGGGUGUCUUAGCCUAGUUAUGAGUUAGUCUUAACUGAAAGAAAUUAACAUGAGACUGAUCUAAUAUGAUUACUGAUGUUAUGAAAUGUCAUGACCCAAAAACGAGGGUCAUGAUGGCACUUGUCAUGGUGCACCUUGAUAAGUAAGCCUAUUACCCAAACUGAUACAAAAAGAGGAAAAGACAGAAAUAUUUCAAGAUAAGGCUUCUAGAACAAAGUCAAACCAUAUAAGUAAUCAUAACAAUGCUGAAAUAACUUAUCAAAAAUACCAACCAUACCCAAAACCAAGUGUCAAUAGUGUAAGAACUACUAAUACAAUCCAAGAGUCAAAUACAUCAAAAGAAUAACCACAAAGGAAUAAUAUCUGUCUCUAAAUACUAAUAAGGACAUAACUACUGUAGAAAGAUAGAGGAGAACUUCGGAUGCAUGAAUGUCUAACAACUAACUUGGAAGCUCCAACAAUCGCCCAAGUCAAUCAAGUUGAGGCACACUCGAGUGAGAACCUGCAUCAAAAGG